Molecule: long non-coding RNA, 66395 nt
Filed under: Lactuca sativa (garden lettuce)
Lineage: Eukaryota; Viridiplantae; Streptophyta; Magnoliopsida; Asterales; Asteraceae
Description: long non-coding RNA (LSAT_LNC009161)
Source: RNAcentral
GUACUUGAACUGGAUCCACUGGAUCUGCUUGAACUGGAUCAACCUGUGGAGCUGGUACUUGAACUGGAUCCACUGGAUCUGCUUGAACUGGAUCCACUUGAACUGGUUCCACUUUACCUGCUAUACAAAUAUGUAGCUAAUGAGUUGGAUGUUCCAUUUAAAUUAUAUUGUUUUAAUAGCAUACCUUUCUCUUUUUUACAUUUUUUAGGUUUCUUGUUUUUUGGCCUUGAAGUGGAUGCUACAUCUGCUGGUCUAGUAGGACAUGUUGAUCUAUUGUGGCCCCUUUCUCUACAAAUAGUGCAUCUAUUAACUGAACCUGCUUUUGAGAUAGUAUGCCUUGUUUUCCCCUUGCUUUCCAUCUCAGAUUGAUCUUUUUUCCUUUUAAGGGUUGGCCUUCCUGGUAACCUUCUUUUUUGAGGAGGCAAUGGCUUCAUGUAGGGAGCUUCAGGCCACAUGGAACUACCAUUAAGUGGGUUAAUGGUAUGGUUGUAACAAGUCAAGAACAUGGCUGUAUGGAACCAUGGUGCAACAUAAUCCUCUGCAUUCCUGUUAAGGUAUGAAAUGGCUGCCACUGCAUGCACACAUGGGAUACCUGAUACUUGCCAAGAUCUACAUCCACAUGUGUUGUUGUUAAGGUCCACAGCAUAUCCAUCAUUUCCAAUCCUAACUUCAUAUUGUUGUAUCCCAGAUGGUAUAACACCCCAAAAUCUGCCCAAAAAAAUAAGAAGUUCUAUUAAUCUUAUAUAUGAGACAUAUAAUAUUAAUAUAAUAGAAGUUAUAUCAUACCUUUGCUGUUUCUUUAGCUUUGAUAUCUUCAACCUUAUAGAUGGACAUAUUUUUAAAUUCCCCCAACUUUGUCCCUCUUGCAACAUUUUAUACAUCCUCUCCAUUGCAUAAAUCCUUAUCUCUUCCAACAUGGUGAUGAGUGGCCUUUUCCUAGCAAGAUCAAUAAUAGAGUUGAAACUUUCUGAUAUGCCAUUCUCAUAAGCAUCACAAGCCCUGUCCACUUCAAAGAAUGCCCUGCACCAACUUUUAGGGUCCCUUUCCAUGAGGUGUUCAUAAGCCAAAGGGUCAAUUUUUUUUAUGGAAUUCAUUUCUGCCUCAAAUUUUGGUUGAGUAGUACUAGCAGCUGCUGCCCAAAACAACUUCCUAUAUUGUUCACCUUUGAAUCUUUUCUUGAAGUUAGCAUAGAUGUGCCUAGCACAUUGUCUAUGCUCUGCUGCUGGAACCCUUUCUUUGACAGCCUCUAUUAAUCCCUGAAAGAAAGCAUGAAAUAGAUGACAUAACAAAAACAUUCAACUUAAACAAAACAAAACAGAAAUAUACCUUGUGUUGGUCUGAUAUGAGGGUCAAUCCAUGACCAAUUCCCAUUUCAAUGUCAUCCAGAAGGAGGUCAAGAAACCACUUCCAUGUUUCCUUAUUUUCAACUUCCACCACAGCCCAUGCAAUAGGGAAGAUGUGGUUGUUUGCAUCCCUACCCAUAGCUGCUAACAGUUGGCCUCUACAUAUACCCUUUAAAAAACAACCAUCUACCCCUAUUACCCUCCUACAUGCUGCAAUCCAACCAUCCUUCACACCCUUAAAACAAACAUACAUUUUAGAAAAGUAGGUUGUGGAAUCAGGCAUGACAUUCACAUCUAUCUUUACUGUUGAACCAGGAUUUGUCCUCAUUAUUUCUUCUCCAUAACUCCAUACUUUACCAUAAUGUUCUAUCAAACUACCCUCUAUCUCAUCCAAAGCAUAUCUCCUAGCAUUUCUACAUUGAGUGACACUAACAAUCAAGUUAAACUUUGUACUCACUUUGGCCUUCAUUUUCCUUAUGCUCAUUUUAGGGUUCUUCACAAGUUGAUUCUUAAAAUGCAUUCCAAUCCAUUUAUAUGUUACAAUGGAACCAAGUUUGAAGACUCUUGAACAGUUAUGUUCAUCAACUAAUGACUUAAUUUGGAAAGACCUUUCACUGCUCAUCCAGGAAGCCCACAGUCUAAAAGGACAAGAGGGGUUCUUGUUCUCUUUACAACAUCUCACUAAUAACCUCUGACUAUCAUUUUUCUCAAAAUAAAGGUUGUACCCAUUCUUCACUGCAUAGUUAGUCAAACAAUUUUUCAAUUCCAUGGGGUUAGAGAAUCUCAUACCUAGAAUUGGCACCAUUUUGUCCCAUUUCUGGUUCUCAUUAUGGAUAGGGUACACUGGUUUGUCAUCUCCAUUCUUGGUUUCAACCUCAUCAGUUUCAGCCUCAUCAUCUAUAUCCUUACACAUACCUGACACCCGAUGUAAGAAUUCAUCACCAAUAGUCUUGUCAAGAGAAGGAAUGUAAUCAUCUGCUUCAUGCUCAUAUGGAACAUCAUCAGAAAGUUGUGAAUCUAUAUCAUCAUCCAGGUCUUCCUCAGAAUAAUGCCCUUCAUCAUCUUCCAUUACUUCCAUAUCAGCCCAAUCAAGUACAGGUUCAUUUUCGUGGUCUAUAUACACAUUCAUUCUUAGACCGGCUUCAUCACUAUAACCCGUUUCAAUAAACUCAAAGUAGUCAGCAUCAUUCCUAAUUCUCCUAAUACCCUCUGCCAAUGGUUCAUUUCUAGUGCAAUAAUAUACAUUAUCACAACUGCCUUCAAUCAACUUUGCAAUGAACAAGUUAAAGUCUUUGAAAUCCAUUGCACCAAAAUCGACAUCACGGAUUGAAACAACAACAGCGUUCAAGUACACUAAUGGUUUUCGUGCGAAUAAACCAUUAUAAUGUAUAUAAACUGUUAAAUACUUACUUUGUUUGGAAUCGGAGGCCAUCUUCUUCACUAUAACACUCGCAUUCACCAGUUCUCUUCAAUUUCCUAACCGUAUGCUUCGAUUGAACUUUUUCUUCCCUCAAUUAAAACGAACCCUAACUGUAGGGUGAAAGAGAAACGGUAAUUAAAUGUGUUCUAAUUCCACGUAAUAAGACAUGUCAUCUCUAAUUAAAUGUGGUAACCGGUAAAACAGGUGAUAACCGGUAUCAAGGGUUUUGGUGAACAGGGAUUAUAAGUUCAAUGGUAUAAUAAAGACAAAAAAAAGAUAAGGGACCUAAUGAAUACAUGACGAAUACUUUAUUACCCUCAAAGGUCAUUUUCCCUUUNAAUAUAUUUUACGUAUUUAUUUGAAUCAACGAUUAUAAUUUUAUAUAUAACUAAAAAAAUAUAUUUUAAUUAAUAAGUUAUUUAAAAUUAUUAAUUAAUAAUUUUGAGUUUUUACUUAGAAAGUUUAAUUAAUUUUUUAACCGUGGUUCCCACGGGUUAUAAACUAGUAAUAUAUGAUAACACCUUUCAUUUAUUUAUUUAUUUUAUGUUUUUAAUUUCUAUUUUGUUUUAUUAUUAUUUUUUUAAAUUUAUGUCAUAAUAUUUUAAAAAACAUAUAACAUAAUAAAACAUAAUUCAAUUACCUACUAAAUUAAACAUAUCAUUUUAAAACCAAAAACAAUAUUACAAAGCAAAGAAAAAAAAAAUAUUGACCGAAAACAUACAAUAGACCUAAUAAUUUGGAAAACAUAAAACUGAUAUAUUAUUCUUCGGCUAAAUAUUUCCGCUCGAUAUUCGCCUUCAUUUUUGGAACACCUCCGCCCAUUUCAGUGACACAUUCUCCUCGCUAGUUUGAAAAUUUGUCAAAUCCUUCGCAAUGCGAUCUUCCUCGGCUUCACGACGAAGGAACUCCAGAUGCUCACGUUGCAACUCAUAUCUUUUACGUGCGAUUUCGUUGUGGUCAUCAAAUUUUUGUUUCAUUUCUGCUUGCUCUCGAAGUCUACUCUCGCUUUCCGCCACAUGUCGUUGAACCCGCCUCGCUUUGUCGCGAUCUAUCGGUCAUCGAGGCGGGGAGAUCUCUUCGAUGUCGUUGAAGACGUUCGGUAUCUCAUCCGUAUUUGCAUUGAGGUCAAUGUUCGUGCGUUCGUCCGAAACGUCAACCGAACCCGAGCCGCGAGACCACUUGGAUUGUUGUUCCGUAAAUGUGUCCGUUUUGUUCCAUUUUGGGUCUUCCUUGACAAUCUCCCAAAUCUUUUCUUGCUCGAAAAUGUGACCCGUGUCGACAUGAUAUUGUUCUUUCGUCGCUCUAUAAACGUCAAAAUCGGUCGCACCACUUUGCUUGUGUGAGGAAAGUUUGUUGUAGAUGGAAUUGAACUUUGUGCACUUCCUUCUUAUUUGAGUCCACUUGCUACUCAACAUAUCAUGAUUGCGAUAUUUUGCAUCAUUCUUCAAAAUGGUCCGAAAUUUUCCGAUCACAGCUUCCCAAAAAGCAACUAUUCUCAUAUCGUUUCCUUGAGUUGGAUUUUUUGAUGUCCCGCACCACUACACCGCUAACGCGUAUUCUUCCUCCGUAGUCCACCAUGUUGGAGGUUCAUCUUCGAUUGCUCCACCGCGACCACUUUCCCUUUUCUUCUUGCUCUCCCUUUGUUGGCCCCUUUUUUCGGCUCCCCCGCUUGUGUGUCGGGUAUCGUUUCUUGUGUGGGUGGUUGUGUGGUAUUUUGUUGUAUUGUAGUGAAUAUGUUGACAAUGUUUUGUGGAACUGUUGUAGGGAAUUGUAGUGGGAUGAGGCGAAAUUGAAAAAGUUGUCUUGAGUGUUGAGGAUGUUCGAUCAGACACUGUGAUAUUAUGAUUUCAUAGGCUUGAAUCUUAGAUCUAUCUCUUUUGUAAAACGGGAUCUAGGUAAGAACAACUAUGCUUUUGCAUUUUUUACUGUAUUGUCUUUUGAUUUUGAUUUUUCUCCAUUAGAUUCAACUGAACUCAAGCAUUGUUUUGUGGUUCUUAUUAGUUAUCUCAGGUUACUAAUCUAUACAAUUCUAUGGGCUUUAUUUGUGUCUUUUAUUGGGUUUUCCAUAUUCACAUAUCUGUACCGAAAAUCAUGUUGAGAGAACAAAGAUUCCUCAUGGCUAAUGUAGUUUGUUUUGUUUUACUACACGAAAAAUCCAAAGAAAAAAAUAUGCGUGCUACUAUUCUCUUAUAUUUCCUAAUAUUUUCCAACCAUUAUGAAGUUCGUUUUGUUUUUACUACAGUUUCAAUUCGGGUGAAUGGUUUUCUUAGAUGUUGCUUAGGCAUUGAUUCACUUUUAUUUAUGUUAUAUUUGUAUAUGAAGCAGUUUUGUUCAUCUGUUCCAGAUUCUUACUGUUGGUUUCAAUAGACUAGACUUGGAGCUAUGUUCUAAAGGUAUGUAGGUUUGACUGACCUGUUUCUCAAUUGAGUUCGUAUAUGCUUCUCUAGAAACUGAUUGGUUGUUGAUUUUGAAUAUCAUCAGUACAUCCUGUAAUCAAUGAGUUUCUUUCAUUUUAACACAUGUUUUAAUUAUGGUUAGUGAUGCUGGAGAAAUAUGUUAAGGAUUUUUCGAUACAUAGUCUGCAGGCAAAGGCAUCUACAUGGUAAUGUAUCUUUGUAAAUUUAUUUUUGUAACCUGAUGAACCCCCAUACACUUUUCUAUUGUGGCUACCCUUUGAAGUCGAGGCCUUUUUAUGAAUAUCGCUUGGGGAUAUAAGUUCUUUUUUAAUUGCUUCUUUGAUUUUAUGUCAUAAAAACUUGAUUCUCAUGCUAUAAUCCUUUACUAGCUAAUUGCUUCACUUUCCAUAUGUUUUUUUUUGUUUUCAUUUUGUUUUUUUUUGGGUUCUUUUGUGUAAUCCAGGUCGUCCAGUAGAGUGCUUUGGUAUUUUAAUGAAAGACGGGUUGAGAAAUUCAUGAUAUAAAGUUUUUCUGAAUUCAUUUGUGAUAUGUAAAUGACUCUAGAUAUUAGGGAUUUUAAUUUUGACUCGGAGAUAAAGGCUAUUUGUUAAGAAAAGUGCUACUGGUUCUUAUCAUUUUCUCUGUAACAUAACCUGUAGAGGAACCAUGAUCCAUGCAGAUUCAUCUAAAUCAAAUUAGACUGGACCUUUUUUUUUAAUUGUGAAUGUUUAUUUCGAAUAGGUUCUUCAUUUUGAAAUAUUUUAGUGUUAUGAACAUAUAGACUUAUUUGUCUGGUUUAAGAAGCCUUAAUUUACUUUUUUUCUUUUUCUUUGGCAGAUGGUUGUUGCUAACGAGCUGUUAGAAACAAAUUACAGAAAUGUGUUAAUGAGGCGGAAGUAACACUAUCUGUUUAGUCUGGAAUGAUAUUUUACAACUUUUGGAUGACUAAGGUAUAAUCGUCCAAAAUAGGAAUGGUAAGCACCUAGAACAGGAGGUUAAUGCUGCCUUUUAGAACUUUGAUCAAUUGUUUAAUCCUCAAAAUAUAACAAAACAUGUAUAAGUUUUGUUAAGUAUUUUUUAAUGCCUUACCCAUGCAUUGAUAAUGUGAUCACGUUGGAACUGCAUUCAUUGGAUUGUAUUCUAAGUUUUUUUUUCAUUGGUACAAUCUAUUGCUAACAUAUCACUCUAUAUGGCAAUGUACACACCUGGUUUCUGCUUAUGCUUCCUAUUUUUCUUAGAAGGUUUGCACUUCCAAAUUUCGAUGUCAUAAAUGGUUGCAUAGUGAAAGUGCAUUGUUAUUACUAGAUGCUAAUCAACUAUACGUUACUGUUUGUAAAAUAUUCACUGUAGUUUUGGUUCGGGUAUUUUUGUCCCUGCUGUUAUUUAUGACUCCCUUCACAAUGGAAAAAAGUAUUCUCAUUUAUGACUGGUUCGGAUAAAUGCCUUGCUUUUUCAAGUUGACUGAUAGAACCAAUUUAAGCUAUAUAACUGAAAAAAUCGGGUUGUUUAGGCAAAAAAAAAGUUAUAUAUCAGGGGCUGUUUGGUAUUAUUUUUAAAUUGAGGGACUGUUUUUGGUAAAAAAAACAUGUGUUUGGGUGUCCCAAUGAAUGCAAUAAAAGCAUAUUUUUGUAGGCCACUAAAUUCAAUUGUAAACUAAAAUGAUUUUUUUUUUGCUUUUUUCAUAUUAUGAGCACAAUUAAUAUAAUUAUAUAGUAGUUUCAUAUUCUAUGAUGGGAAGUUGGAAAAACUAAAGCUACAUAAUUCAAUAAAAAAUGUUUCAGCUUUAAACUUACGAUGCCAAAGAUACUGUUAGUAAUAUUUAUCAAUUUCGUUGCAUGAACUAAUCUCCAUAAACGAAUUAAAAUGACACUUGCAAUACUUUAUGGGUCAUUUUACACAUUUGAACAGUAGGCAUCGACAUUUAAUGUAACUGUUGGAACCGGAACGAAAAACAUAAUUGUUUAUUACCCGAUUCUGGGUUUUUACAACCGAAUAUGCCCAAAAUUGUUGGAACUGGAUCGAAAAGCCCGAAAACUGAUUAACCCCAAUUCACAAAACCAUAUAUCGAACCACAACAACUUAUUCAUUCCUAACCAAUUUUAGUCCAGUUUUUCGGGAAAAGUGUUCAUCUUUACCUGCGACCCACCUAGGUAUAUGCUAGAAUUGUCUAUGCAUGUAGGCAUGUUAACCAAUCUAGAACUAGAGCGGUACGAUACUGGAAUAAAAAAAACUAAAAACCGAAUAAACCAUAAACUAAGAACUGAAAACGGAAUUAUGUACCUUACUAAUACGUCACCCAAAAACUAUUUGUUCGGAAACUAUUCACUGCUUACAAACAAUUUGACGAAAGGAAUUAGGUACCGCUGCAUCGCGCGGGUACACUACUAGUAUAUUAUAAAACAUAUUAGUCGUAUCUUGAAUUUCAAAAUUUAUAAGUUCAAAAACUUUUUGUACAAAUCAAUUAUGCAUAAUUAUCAUUAAUACUUGCUAAAAGUUUGAAUACUUGAAUUAAUUAAUUAAGGAAGGUUAUUAAUAAAUUUAAUUUGGAGCAAAAUGAUAAUUUUAAAGUAUUAAAUUCAUAUAUAUAUAAAUUAAUUUAAAUUUCUAAAACUAAACACGAUAUUACUUAAUUUACAUUAAAUGUAUAAACAUGCAAUAUAAGUAUAAGGUCUAAACAUAAAUAUUUUAUUUAAAAUGAUAAUUUUUUUUACAUAAUAACUAAUAAUAAAAUUUAAUAAUUAUUUCCAUNNNNNNNNNNNNNNNNNNNNNNNNNNNNNNNNNNNNNNNNNNNNNNNNNNNNNNNNNNNNNNNNNNNNNNNNNNNNNNNNNNNNNNNNNNNNNNNUAUAUAUAUAUAAUGUUAUUAUUUUGUCAUUAAUAUUGUAUCCACAACUUUAUGUCAUUAUUCAACAAUGAAAAAUGAAUAGUCAUAUGUUAAAAUCAAAAUUAAAAUUUACUAUAAAAAUGCACAUAUAUAAACUUUUUAAAAUAGCCAUUGCAUAGUUUACGAAUUAUGCUUAGUAGAGACCUAAACCGAGGAAUGGUUUAGAGUCAGACCACGCCUUAUGACAAAAGGGGAGAAAGGACUGUCGAUCUGUGAUCAAAGAAAACUAUACCUGAAGAAUGGGAUACAGAUUGACCGGCACAAAAGCCAUCCUAUAUUUAUCUAUAUGAAAAAGAAAUCAUGUAACGAAGUGGAUUAUUAUUUGUACAAUUGGUACUUCGAACUUAGAUCUAGCAUGAAGAAAUUAACGAUACUUCUUUAUCUUUUGAGUUGUUCUGCCGGAUCGGUCACUCAAGAUCAAUGGUCUCUACCCGUACCCGAUGAAAAAAAUGGGAUCACUCAUUAUGGACUCGUUGAGAAUGAUUAUGGUCUAGUUCAUGGCCUAUUAGAAGUGGAAGGCACUCUGGUGGGAUCCUCAUGGACAUGCAAUCAGUUUGAUAAGGAUCGAGUGACAUUGCUUCUUCGAUCCGAACCAAGGAAUCCCUUAGAUAUGAUACAAAAUGGAUCUUGUUCUAUCCUUGAUCAGAGAUUUCUCUAUGAAAAAACGAAUCGGAGUUUGAAGAGGGGGACGACCGACAACAGAUAGAGGAGGAUUUAUUCGAUCACAUAGUUUGGGCUCCUAGAAUAUUGCGCCCUUGGGGCUUUCUAUUGGAUUGUAUCGAAAGACCCAAUGAAUUGGGAUUUCCCUAUUGGUUCAGGUCAUUUCGAGGCAAGCGAAUCGUUUAUGAUGAAGAGGAUGAGCUUCAAGAGAAUGAUCCAGAGUUCUUGUAGAGUGGAACCGUGCAGUACCAGACACGAGAUAUAUCUUCCAAAGAACAAUAAUAGAAUAAUAACAUUCUAAUGAAUAUAAGAAUAAUCAAACGUGAAUAUUCACAAUAGAAUUACUUCAACAAGACACAUAUACAACAUUUAUUGCUGAAUAAUAACAUAAACAUAGUGUUUUUACGUUUUCACACUAUUUACAUUUUUUAUUUGAACUUACUUUUCUCUCUCUCUCUCUCACUUUCUCUCUCUCUCUCUCUAUAUAUAUAUAUAUAUAUAUANNNNNNNNNNNNNNNNNNNNNNNNNNNNNNNNNNNNNNNNNNNNNNNNNNNNNNNNNNNNNNNNNNNNNNNNNNNNNNNNNNNNNNNNNNNNNNNNNNNNNNNNNNNNNNNNNNNNNNNNNNNNNNNNNUCGUUGCGCGACAUAGGUUAAAAAUAUAUUGUUAUAAUAUUGAAAUAUAUAUAUUCUCAACUAUUUUGAACAAUAAUAUUUAUUGACAUCAAUCGACCUUCCUCAUUAAUAGAAUUAAAUAUAAUUAUGUAUUUAGUAUUAUUUUUAACAAUUGUUAUAAUUGAUUAAUUUGUAUUUUUUACUUAUGCAAUUAUUUACUAAUUUUUUUAAUGACGUUCAUUUAAAAUACAAUUAUUUGUAGCUAACAUUAUGUAAUUUAUAAUUUGACGUAUUUAUCAUUUAAAAUUAUUGUUCAUUAAUUUUAAACCACUUAUUAUUAUUAUUAUUAUUAUUAUUAUUAUUAUUAUUAUUAAGUUAAAGAAGACUUUUAAGAAACACUUUAUAUUAUUCUUCAAAUAUGAAACAUAUACUAAAUAAUAAAGUGAUAAGAUUGACAAUUUGCAUUUCAAAAGAGAUUUACAUGGAUAACAUGACAUAUCCAUGAUUUUUAUAAUUUGAUUUAUUACUUAUAACUAUUGUUCAUUAAUUUUAAAACCACUUAUUAUUAUUAAUAAGUGAAAGAAAACUUUUAAAAAACACUUAUUAUCAUACUUCAAUUGUUAAAUAUAUACUAAAAUAUAAAGUGAUAAGAUAAAUAAUUUGCAUUUUAAAAGAGACUUACAUGGAUAAUAUGGAUAAUAGGACAUAUACAUGAUUUUUAAUUAAGUAUUGCUUUGAAGCAACACAAACAUACAUACAUAUAUACAAUAUUAAAUUAAAUAUUAUCUAUAUCACAUUCCAUCACAUAUGAUCGAUAACAUAAAUCCAGUCUAAUUUACAAUAAAAUUUCAACCACAACAUACAAUGAUCGUCUUAAAAGAAUACUAAACCAAAAAAAUUAAAUAAAAUAAUAAUUAGUAUAUAACAAACUUACAAAUUAAAAACUUUAACAUAAUAACAUGGCUUGAAAAAUGGUAUAAAGCCCUCAAACCAACACAAACACCUUUAAACUUAUUUUCUGUGUGAAUUUCGUAUGUGAUUGGUAUUUGUGUGUCUACUCAAAUAGAUUAGCCUUUUAUAGUAUACUAUCCAUUAACUAUGAAAUAAUAAUUAUUACAUUUGGUUGUUGUAAAUGAAUGUGGUGAAAGGAAAAAUGCUUCCUUUAUAUAUAUAUAUAUAUAUAUAUANNNNNNNNNNNNNNNNNNNNNNNNNNNNNNNNNNNNNNNNNNNUAUAUAUAUAUAUAUAUAUAUAGAGAGAGAGAGAGAGAGAGAGAGAGGUUCAAAUGUGGAUUGACAUUUAUUGUACGGACGUGUGGAUAGUGUUAUUCUGUGAGAAUGACAAAGAAAAUAUGAUGUUUGAUGAUAUAUAUACGUUCAAUCUUACAUAACUAUUGUCAUUAACACACAUUUUCACUAAUUAAAUCAUCUAUAAAGUUAUUAUAGACUUUUUAUUAUUAUUCUGAUUAUAUCAGAAUGUUGUGAAAAUGUUUAUUGAGUCGUAUUCUGUUAGAAUGAAAGUGAGUGAAAAAUGAUGUGUGAGAACAAAAAUGAAUAAGAAUUAGUGAGAAUGCAUGAAAAUGAUAAUAUUUAUGUAAGGUUGGACGUAUUCGCAUUAGUAAACAACUUAUUCUCUUAGUAAUUUUCAUAGAAUAGCACUGUCCACACGUCCGCACAAUAAUUGUCCAUCCACAUUAUAACUUAUAAACUUUUUGUUAUUAUUCUCAUUCUAUCAAAUUGUUUAUUGAGUCGUAUUCUGUAAGAAUGAAAAUGAGGGAAAAACGAUGUGUAGGAACAAAAAUGAAUAAGAAUUAGUGAGAAUGCAUGAAAAUGACGAUAGUUAUAUAAGAUUGAAUGUAGUCAAAUUAUUAAACAACCUAUUCUCUUAGUAAUUGUCAUAGAAUAUCAUUGUCCACACGUCCGCACAAUAGUUGUCCAUCCACAUUAUAACCUAGGCGCGCGCACACACACACACACACUGUAGCACCUGGUUCUUGGUACGUAUUCUUUUAUUUAAUUCUUUGUGCAUUUUGCAUCUUGGCCUUAGACUUGGCGAGUCAGAGGAUCGACUUGCCGAGUAGAAGCGGGAAGGGGCACGGGGUUUACGUUGUGGACUCGCUGAGUCGGGUCCCGGACUCGGCGAGUAAGCUGCUGUUCGGACAAAAACCCUAAUCUAGGAGUGUGCACCCUAUUUAAACACUCUAACUCGGCCUCCCUUGCCCCUAAAACUUCCAGAAGAGCUGUAGAGCGAAACCCUAGCCCCCAUAUUGUUCUUGUGAGUGAUUUUGGCUUUGUGAAGGAAGUUUGGAGCUUAGAAGAAGAAGGUGAAGGUUGAAGGGUGCAAGGAGGGGAAGUAGAUACGAAAUCUACUCUGUGGAAGGCUUCCAUUCAGGUAGAAAAGUUCCUACCUUGAUCUCUAGUUCAUUAGAUCCCUUUUUGUCCCUAGUUUGUGGUUUUUAAGCCCUAAAACCUCAAACUCUAUGUGUUUAUGCUCUAUGAUCCGAAAGGACUUCAGAUUUAGACCUUAUGGACGUAUUAGAAGUAUAAAGCCUCUGUGGUUGAAGUGAUUGAGGUUCCUAUUGAGUAUAUGACCUUAUAAAGAGCUUGGAUUUGCCUUUUGGAGCUUAUAGGUCCAUGCAUGCACGUAAAGUUUGCAACUUUACGUGAUAAGCAUGCCCUAGGAACAUAGAUCUAUUGUUUGGAAGUGUUGCAUGUCUCAGAUUUGGCCUAUAUGGGAAAUGGGUCGAAGGGACUCGACGAGUCCCAAAGUGGAACUCGGCGAGUUCUAUGAAGAUGACAUUAGACUUGGCAAGUUGGAUAAACAACUCGGCGAGUCCUAUGAAGAUUUCCUGGAACUCGAAGAGUUGUUCUUCAAACUCGACGAGUCAUAUGAACAGUUACUGAGUUGAGAGGGGUUUAAGUGUAGAAGGUCCAACCCUUCGUCACUACUCGCGGAAUUAGCAAAUUAACGUGUAGAAAUAGUCCUAGAAACCCAAAUCCUCAUAAAGAAUGCCCUGGUGAGGAUUUGGAAGCGAGUAGGAGAUCUGCUCAUGGGACUCGGCGAGUUGUUCUUCAAACUUGGCGAGUCGGAUGAGUUUCCUUGUGGCUUUCGAAUGGGAGAAGAACUCGUCAAGUUGUCGGCCCAACUCGACGAGUAGAGUUGCGGAUGGGGAUGAGUAGAGAGUGAGGGACUCGACGAGUUGAUGGCCCAACUCGGCGAGUCGGGUCAACUGGAAGUUGACUUUGACUUUGACUUGACUUGGUUGAGGGUAAAAUGGUCAUUUUACCCUAAGUAUAGAGAUCCGUUUCUAACUGAGUGUUUGUGGGGUUCGUAGCCGGAGGAUUUCUGGAGCAGUAGCGGACGGAGGUUUCUUGCACUAAUUAUCAGCAGCUACUUGUAUGAGGUGAUUUACCUUCCAGUAGGGGUGGGUCUAAGGCCACAAUGCCGGCCCACCAUUGAGGAGUAUUUAGAAGGUAAUUGUCUUUGUGAUAAUUUAUCUUGGUCUGGUAUGCGUUUGGUUAUGAGUUAUAUCUGUAUGAUAUGUUACAUGAUAGGGAUAGUUUCCCUGAUAGUGGUCCUUAGGACCAAGGGGUAGGUCAGUACCCGAAUAUGCCUGACUGUGUGCUUAUAUCUUGCUAUUGUAUGCUAGUGGUAGGGGGUGGAAUAGUCCCCAGUUUCCGGUUGAAAGAUACCGAUGACGAUUACCGGUUAAAAGAUACCGAUGGUAUUGUAUGGUAUGUGGUAUGAUGGGGGAACUCACUAAGCUUUGUGCUUACGGUUUCAGUUUUUGGUUUCAGGUACCUCUUCAUCUAAGGGGAAGGAGCCGGCGGCGUAGCAUUGCACUACACACACAUUUGAUUUUCCGCACGGUGUUUUCUGGGAUUGUACUCUGAUAUGUUAUUUGCUUGUGUUGUGGGUUUGAAACAUGAUACUUGAUUUUAUGAGAUGACGUGUUGAUUGAAUAUUUUCUAGUGAAUGUUUUAUGAACAACUUAAUUAAAAAAUGAAACUUUUGAACUUGAAUUCUGGGACGUUACACACACACACAGAUAUAUAUAUAUAUAUAUAUAUAUAUAUAUAUAUAUAUGUAUAUAUAAGUAUNUAUAUUAUAUUAUAAAACAUAUUAGUUGUAUCUUGAAUUUUAAAAGAUAUAAGUUACAGAGUUUUUGUACAAAUCAAUUAUAUAUAAAUAAUUCAUUAAUAAUUGUUAAAAGUUUGAAGACUUGAAUUAAGGAAAGUAAUCAAGAAAUUCAAUUUGAAGUAAAUAAAGAUUAUAAAUAUUAAAUUCAUGUGUAUAAAUUAAUUUAUGUUCUUAAAUAAACACCAAUAUUAAUUAAUUUAUAUUAAUAGUAUAAACAAGCAAUAUAAACAUAAAUAUUUUAUAUAAAAGUUGUAAAUUUUUAUUACAUAAUAACUAAUAAUAAAAUCUAAUAAUUAUUUUUCCUGAAAAAAUUAUUCAACAAAAAAGCUACUUAUCACAUCCCUUUUGCGUGGGCACUCAUCAAGUGUGUGUGUGUGUGUGUGUAUAUAUUUUCAAUUUAUUACCAUUGAGAAUCUCAAUCCAAAUUAAUCUGUUUCUAGUCGUUACCACACUAAUGCCUCAUAACAUAACACCUGUCGGGGGCGGUGUAGCUGGCAUUAUACUGACGUUUUUUGAGCGCCAUGGCGUAUUACCAUUGAGAAUCUCUAUCCAAAUUAAUCCGUUUCAAAUACGAUUUUUGAAUCAACUGAUCUCUAUAAGUUUAAUAAGUUAUCUAUUGAAAAUAUAGUUGGAAGCAAGUUCAUAUUCCUUUGAAAUAACAAGAUAAUACAUUAAUUGUUAGUGUAUCUCACAUUUAGGGCUACACAGUCCUACAAGUGUCUAUAUAUAUAUNNNNNNNNNNNNNNNNNNNNNNNNNNNNNNNNNNNNNNNNNNNNNNNNNNNNNNNNNNNNNNNNNNNNNNNNNNNNNNNNNNNNNNNNNNNNNNNNNNNNNNNNNNNNNNNNNNNNNNNNNNNNNNNNNNNNNNNNNNNNAGAGCUAGGUUCAAAUGUGGAUUGACAUCUAUUAUGCGGACGUAUGGACGGUACUAUUCUGUGAGAAUGACAAAAAAAAUAUGUUGUUUGAUAAUAUGAAUACGUUCAAUCUUACAUAACUAUUGUCAUCAUCACACAUUCUCAUUAAUUAAAUCGUCUAUAAGGUUAUUAUAGACUUUUUAUUAUUAUUCUCAUUCUGUCAGAAUGUUUAUUGAGUCGUAUUCUAUAAGAAUGAAAAUGAGUGAAAAACGAUGUAUGAGAACAAAAAUGAAUAAGAACUGGUGAAAAUGCAUGAAAAUGCUGAUAGUUGUCUGAGGUUGAACGUAUUCAUAUUACUAAACAACUUAUUCUUUUAGUAAUUAUCAUAGAAUAACAUUGUCNUCAAAAAAUCACAAUUUUUAUGUCAAAAUCGCUGAAAAAAAUUUUGAAAAAAAAAUUAUUUUACAAAAAAAAAUUGUUUUUUUUAUUUUUUUUCAGCGAAAUUGUAAAAAAUGCUGCGAUUUUCUGAUAAAAAAUUCAAAAAAAGGUUUCGUGAUGUCUUGGUAUUUUUUUAUAUAUUUUAAUGAUUUUUAGGGUUUUCUAAGAGUUUUUUUUGUUUUCCAUUAGGGUUUAUGGAAAACAAAAACCCAAAAAAAACUCUAAAAGUCAUAAAAAUGCAUGAAAAAAUACUUAGAGAUCAUAGAUUUUUUUUCCGACUUUAUAUUUUUAAAAAUCGCAACUUUUUAUAUAAUUUCGUUGAAUUUUUUUUUGAAAAAAAAAACCAAAAAAUAGAAAAAUAAUAAAAAAAAUAAAAAAUAAUUAUAAAAAAUAUAAAAAAAUCGAUUUUUUAAUUUUUUUUUCCAGCGAAUUUAUAAAAAACUUGCGAUUUUUAAGAAUAUAAAGUCAUAAAAAAGAUUUGUGAUCUCUAAGUAUUUUUUAUGAUUUUUAGGAUUUUUUUGAGUUUUUUUUUUUUUUUUUACUUCACACAUCCUUUGUCUAGUUGUCUGGCCUCUUCAAGUCUAUGUAUUUAAUGGGGGGGGUGGGGGGUAUAUCUCAUAAUAGAAAAUGAAGAUGAUGAUGAGGACCCUACAACCCUUCAAAUAUUUAUUUAAAUAAUUAAAUUAUAAAAAAUGGUAAGGGCACUACAAGCCUUUUUUUGUGUCGAGGGGAUGAAAUGGGCAGAUUGCCCCAAACUAGAGAGAUGAUUUGUGUAAUUUAUCAAAUAUUUAAUGACGUGGGUGGAGAAAUGUAAGCUUAAUGAUAUAUGUGGUUUUUAAAAUGUAUUAGAUACUUACAUGUAAAAUGACAAAAAAAGACAUGUUUAGGGUAAAUGAGGGGUAUAUUGGUAAUUUAAUAUUUUUAGCUGGUGAAAAGUUGGGAAAAAUUAGCUAAUCGUGACUUUUCAAAAAGACUCAAAUUACUCUAUGGGAAAAGUCAUUUACAAAAGUCCUUUUCCUUUUACCAAACAUCUUUUGGGACUUUUUCUAAAAGAUAAAAUCAAAAGUCAUUUAAAAAGCUAAGCCAAACACCCUCUCAAUAUUGUAAGCUCAAUUCUGCUACGAAUUCGUUGAUGUUCUUGUCUGAGCUUCCACCUUCUUCGAUAGCCUCUAUCGCUAAAUCCCUCCAUUUGGUUGUGUUUUUCCUGAUCUCGAUGCUUUUCUCUCCUUCCAUGACUUGCCUUAUGCACGCAUCCAACACUCGUCUGGUCACAAUCCCAUUAACAUCUUGCUUAGCCCGAACUCCCACACCCCAAACAUCCUCCACAUACUUGGCAUUUGUGGUCUGAUCGGACCAUUGUGGCAUUGCAACCAUCGGCACACCCAAACCAAUGGCUUCAAGAACGGAGUUGAGCCCACAAUGUGUAACAAAGCAUCCUAUUGACUCAUGAGCCAAUACUUCCAAUUGAGGACACCAUGCCACGACUAACCCUUUCUUUGACAUGCCAUCGACAAACUCUUGGGGGAUAUUGUCCUCUAAAGAAGACUUAACCACCCACAAGAAGCUAAAACCACCAUCACUCAAACUACAUGUUAUUUCUUUCAUUUGCUCAGAUCCAGGCUGCAUCAAGCUCCCAAAUGAUAAGUAAACAACCGAUCUUUUUGGCUUGUUGUUUAGCCAGUUCAUGCAUUCAACCCGUUUUGGUUUGAACACAUUCACUCCAUACUCUCGAUCAUCUAACAAUCGUUUGUCAAGGUACAUUGAUGGAAGCGUUGGGCCUAUCGUCCUUACACGCCACAACUUCCCCAUCCAAUUGACCACCUAUAUAUGCAUGUUACAAUCAAGGAAUUACGAUUUUGAGUAUCAGAUAAAUCCUUUAUGAUCAGUAAAUAGUUUCAAGAAAAAUCACAACCUCUUCCUCCAAUUUGUAAAAUGAGUUGAUCAACACCCAGUCUGCUUGAUCAAUGUUGGUAAAUUGACCAAAAACUAGAUCAGAAACAGCAGGAAACAAGUCAAAUUUGUGCACGAAUGAAGGAGUUUCCCAGUUUUCAAGCGGUGGUAAUCCAGGAAGUGAGACUAAUGAAUCCGAAUCCGACAAUGGGAUUUGAAGAAGGCUUCUGUUGACAUGAUAGUAAAUAUUAUUGACAGCACAAGUUUGAGUGAAGAAGACGACUCCCAUGAUCUUGAAUUGCUUAGAAACAUCAAGAGCCCAAGGCAAAAACCCAUCAUAAACAAUGGCGUUGACACCCCCUAGUUUUUUAACAAGAUCCGAUAGGGACUUUGGGCCUACUUCACGAAGCUUUGGGAAGUAAACAUCUGGGGACACAAAUUGAUCAGGGCAAUUGUCAUCAAACCCAUCAGAGAAUGUUUCGAAGGUGAUGAGGGUGGUGUUAAGGUCGAUAUGGACAUUUUUGGAGAAGGAAAAUGUUGUUGCAAAUGUUGUUUUGAUGCCUUUGGCGACCAAGCGUUUGCAGAAUUGGAUCAUGGGGUUAACGUGGCCUUGAGCAGGGUAUGAGAGCACCAGAACGUGAGGCUGUUUUCGUGUUGAACUCAUUGUGUUAGCGUCGAAGCUAAAUGCUUGGUUGAAACGUGUCUAAAAUAAGAUAGAGGUCUUGCAUUUGAAUCAUAUGGUUAUAUAUCGACUAAUUCAUUACCAAACUGAUCCCAAAUAUGCUAAAUGCCAUAACAAGCAUGGGAAAAUAUGAUUUUAUUAAUAUGUAUCUACAGACGAUCAAUAUUUAAUAUGAAUGAAACAUACCGUUUAUCUUGUAAGCACGAUUAGAACGAUGUAUCAUUGUUUGGUUUGGUGAGCAUUUAAAAUAGUAAAUUCCGCCAUGAUUUUUAUAGUUAUAUCCAUCCAUACAUUUGACGUUUUAAUAAACAUUAUUUUUAAUAUUUUAUUUUAGGAUAUUAUUAUCUUUAAUGAAUGUGUAACUUUACACCACCAACUUUUUUUUUUCUAUAAGUGUUGAUUUUUUAACAUCAUUUUUUUUCCUAACUUCAACCUUAUAUUAAUCGGUUUUGAUUCAAAAGUGCAUCUUUAUAUUUACACACCAAUACAGCUUCUAGCUUAAACAGAGUCUAUAAAAGUUUUACACUAAUAAAAACAUACCUAAAAUACAAUUUAAUCAGAUUAAAUAAAAAACACUUGUGAUCACUAAUAAAAAGUUGACACUUGAUUUUCUAUCAUAGGUCAAACUCAAAACGGACACCAUAAUCUGUAAACAUAUGUAUCUAUAUAUAUUUCAACAACAACAAACUAACUAACAAAUUAAUUACAUAUAAACCAUACCUUAUCUUCAAAACUCCUUCUGUACACCACCAGCAACAAUAAGUUCAAUAUGACCACCAUCACCACUAUCACUCGGCAUCAUCAACACCUCAUCAUCCGCUGAAAAAUUAUACCGAGCACCAAUCGCCCGUAACAACUGAUACACUUCAAACAUCGAGGGCCUCUCCUUAUGAGCCUGGACCACACAAUUACACGCAACUUUCAAAAACUGAAAGACCUCACUUUCAUUUCUUUUUUCAACCAACGACUUAUCAAUUGAGUCUUGAAGUCUCCCUUCAGACGACAACUCAAUAACCCAUUCAGCCAAACUCCCCUUAAAAGUUUCCGGAGCUUUACUGAUAUGUGUCGGUCUUUCACCAGUCACCAAUUCCAAAAGGACAACCCCAAAACUAUACACAUCGCCUUUUGGGGUGGCCACAAGGGUACGCGCGUAUUCGGGGGCCACGUAUCCCAAAUCGCCGAAUUCCCCGUUUACAAAAGUACUCAAAUGCGUGUCUACUGGAUUCAUGAGCCUUGCGAGCCCAAAAUCAGAGAUUCUGGGCUCGAGGUCGGAAUCCAGUAGAAUGCAUUUUGAACUUAUGUUACGGUGAAGGAUACGCGGGUUGCAGUUAUGGUGGAGCCAUGCUAACCCUUUGGCUAUUCCGAUUCCGAUUUUUAGCCUCGAAGGCCAAUCGAGGGGUUUUGUGUCAUUUUCCAAUAAUAGAUGGAGUUUGUCGUGGAGGUUACCGUUUGCCAUGUAUUUGUAGACUAAAAGGCGUUCUUUUUUUGCGACACAAAACCCUAACAGCGGGACUAAGUUUCGGUGUUUGACUUUUCCAAGGGUUGACAUUUCGGAUGCGAAUUCCUUCUCGGAAUGUUGAGUGUCUUGUAAUCUUUUGAUCAUAAGUAAACUGCCAUCUUCGAAUUCUGCUUUGUAUAAACACCCGGUUCUUCCUGACCCGAUGAUAUUAUCUUUGCUGAAACUGUUUGUGGCUUUCAUUAGAUCGCUCAAUCGCAUCUUGGAAACCGGGUUUUCAAACAUGGAAAGCUGCAAUGACAUUAAAAACUGUCAGAUUGAUUCACCAAACAUGACAGAAUAGAGAUAAAAAGGAUUAAAAUUAUAAUCUUACCUUGAUGGUUUUAGCUCCUUUAAUACUCUUGGCCCAUUUAUUUCCAUCUGGAUCAUCAUCUUUCCUUUUCCUAACAACCUUACGCAUAAAGAACAACAUUCCAAAAACUAGAAUUAACGCAGCAAUAGUGGCCCCACCAACAGCGGCCCCCACAAUGACACCCGUAUUGGAUUUUUUAACAGUUCCUGGACAAGGGGACAAAACAGGACCCCCACAUAACCCUGGAUUACCCGCGUAGCUUGCUUCUGUACCAUUUUGGAAAUAUGGAACUUGACCAGAUAAUUGAUUGUUAACAACACUAAACUCUUUGAGGCGAUUAAGGUUACGUAAUUCUAAAGGAAUCUGACCCGAAAACCGGUUGUUACCGAGUCUGAGAACAUUAAGAUAGGAACAGUUUGCAAAGCUUGCAGGGAUUUCCCCCGAGAAAUUGUUUGAAGACAGAUCAAGAGUUGUCAAAAACCCUAGAAUUUUUGUCAUGUUGGUUGGGAGAUUUCCAAAAAAUUUGUUGCUAGAAAGAUCUAAUCCUGUCAUGGAGGUACAAUUCUGGAGUGCAAGAGGUAAUGUGCCCUUGAGUCCCAUGUCUGGGAGUUUUAUAUUUAGAACCUUGUUUUCAUCAGGAUGCCAGCAUUCGAUGCCUGCAAACUUGCAGAUGUAUCCUUCGGUAUUGUUAUUAAAAUCCCAUGAAAUUAAGAUGUUUUCUGGAUCUUCAAUUGAAGCUUUAAAGGCUUUAAGGCAAUCAAUAUCACUCUGGACAGCAUUGGUACAUGUGACACACAAAAGAAUAAAGACACAAGUGGUAAUUAUUGGUAUGUUACUUGGUGCCAUUGAAGAUUUUAAGUGUGGCACAUAUCAAACUUUAGUAAUACCCAAGAAAACCUUUUUUUUUUCCAAGAACCAAACCUGCAAAAGAUAGCAAAACAAACAAGCCGUAUUCAGUGAUAUGUGUAGAUGGUAUGACAUGUUUAUGUCAUAUAGUAUCGAGUUAACUCAUUUUUGUAAUCUGAAAACAAGCUACUGUCACCAAACAGUCAAAGAAUAAAACAACUUAUCUCAGAAUUCAGACACUGAGCAUGUUGGAUAUGAGUUUUAAAGUAAGUAUUGCGACCUAAAAAAUUAUAAUUAGCUAUUAAAGCAGCAUAUAGUAUUAUAGCUAGGGAUCGUUAUGAAAUCUUUUAUUCAGUUUUCUUGCUGAAACUCUCAUCUAAAGAGGGUUAUGGAUGUGGGAACUGAGAAUGAAUGAUUACGUGAAAUUGAAUAAUAAGGAUAAGAUAAUGACUAGAAGAUAAGAAUAUGAUAAUCAGCUCUAAUGUAACAGCCCCUAUCUCGAUAGUGUUUUAGGAAGUGUUUAUGUCAUUUAAGAUUGUAUAAAGAACUAAUAAAUAAAGUAACAAAAGGAAUUUCAUUGCCAAAAAGGACAGCGUUAUGGGAAGUGAUAAACAAGAGUCUCUGAACACUAAAACUUCCAAAAAUAGGCAACCAAACACCUAAUUCUGAUUAUUUUGACCCAAAUAAAGAUCAGAACUUGAACGCGCAUACAAACACCCAGUAAUUUUAUGUUCAAUUUAGAAUUCACGAAUUUCAGUUAUCCAAUUGAGAUAUUACAAACCCUAAUUGAAUAUUUCGUGGAUCCAAAUGAUUGAAUCAUAAAAUUCGGCAACAGUGAACAAAAUUAAGCAUCAGGUACUCCGAAAAUAAGAAACCCAGAAGCAAUUCCACCACUACAACAAAUAAUUUACGUAAAUUUGAAGUUAUACUACAACAAAAGGGAAUUCUGAAGAUGAAGAACGUACAGUGAAGGAGUGAGGAUCUUCAGGAGGAAGGUGCCGCUACGUAUACUGAUAAGAAAGAAGAAGAAAUUUUGAAUGGAUAUAAGAGAAAAUCGUUGGUAAUCUAGUCAAAGAACAAAAUUUCUAUAGCAGAUUCAUGCGACGACUGGACCGAAAGCUGCAGCCACUAAUAAAUAGAAUGAUUUGACUAGCAGUUCUUGACUGAGUAAAACGAAAGCCGUGUGAAGUCAUGACUUUUACGAAAGUUUUGUUGUUUUUUGUGUGGAAUUUGGACUUUGAAGAAAAUGAUAUUCCAGACCAUUUUUGUAUUUUAUAUGCACCCAAUUCACACUCACCCACACACUUUUUACUAUUUCCCCCUCUUUAUUUUUACGCGGUGAAUUAUUUUUAUGUAAGUGAUCUGAAAUAACUGUAAACUUAUUCAUAAAUCAUAGUAACAAUAGAUUUUAACUUUUAUAACUAUUCUAUAAGUAAUAUAUAAUCUCAAGCUUAUAAACUGUUAUCAUGUCAUCAUGAGCUUUAUAUUAUUGUCAGUACUGAACUUAAAGAAAAAAAAAGAAUCAUCCCCUCACCGUGUAUAUGCAGCCAAUAAUCUUUCUCUUUUUUCACUAAUACUCCCCUGACUAACCUGAUCUUCCUAGGGUGCAAACACUUAUUUCACAAGCGAAUUGUUUUUGAACCAUCAUGUUGCAUAUUUUCAUAGGUCAAACAUAUGAAUUCACCAACCUUUAGGCUUGGUUUUAGCAACAUAAAGUUCUAUUUAUUGUGAAAAUGAUCUUUGGAAAUUUUUUUUGUUUUCUUAACAAGAAAAAAACCCAUGACUUUUGUAAAAAUAUGAACAAUAUCGCAAUGAAUAGCAAUUUCAUAGGCCAGGCUUCCGAAAAAAAUAAUUUUAUUUUUCGAAAAUUGGACAUUUUCACAGGUCAAACAUGCGAUUACGAUUGAAAAAAAAAAAAAAAAAAAGACCCGAAACUCUGUUGUUUUGGUUAUUUCACAGAUUGGACCUAACAAUUUAUGAUUGGACCUAACUUAAUUUUCUCUAAAUCUCAAAAUAAUAAUAAUAAUAAUAAUAAUAAUAAUAAUACCUUUACUUAAAUUUGUCUUUUUCUCUAACAUCUAAUCAUUCACUUUAGAUCAUUUGAUAUUUUCUGAAUUACCGUACCAAAGAUCUCGAUUAACUAUCGACUAGUUAACAUAAAAGGGAGGAAUAUAUAAGGAUGAAAAUGAUUAUUACUCAAAAAGGACCAUUUUUGUAACCAAACACAGCUUUUUCAAUUGCACUGACAAGUAGCAAAUGUAUAAAGGGAGUGUGGGGUUUUGUCACUUUGUGACUUUGUCAGAAACCGUGUCGUUAUACAGUCUCCCCACUUUGGCCCUUCAUUUUGCCCUCUACAGUCUACAGUCUACAACUGGCUACUUCCCUGCAAAAACCUCAUUUUCCCACCCCAACAAAGAAUAGCUUUGAUCAAACUACGCAAUUCUUGUCGGUCCGUCUACCUCCAUCAACUUAUUCCUGUAAAGCAAUCAUACAUGUUAGAUCCAGACGUCCAAUUACUUUGCUAUUACUAGUUGAUGUUAAGGCCACUCGAAUUUGAUAUUUUGAUAAAUGAUAAUAUGGUUCGUAAUUAAUUGUUUUGUAUCCUGUGGUUUCCAUUGAUAGUGGCGAGUUUACAACAAAAAAUGAUAGGGAAGUGAAACCAGGAAAAAUGAAAUAAUUAAAAUUAAUAGUUGUGGGUUAGGUCAUGUAUACUAUUGUAAAACUCGGAUAAUUCGGCCGAGUACUCCAGAAAUUACUUGGGCUCGGCUUGCUACCAAGGCGAGUUUUUCCUACUUGACCAAAAGAAUCAGAAGUCUUUCAAACUCAAUACAACUCAUACCGAUUCAAUUUAAAACACAAUCCCUUUUUAGACUAAAGCAUGAUUAAACUAAUAAAAUCGGUUCAACAUGCAAAAAUAAUAUUAAAGAACUAAAACCAGUUUAAACUUGUAAUAAACCAAGUCUAAGAUUUAAAUCGUUAACAUUUUCCCUUAAACUCAAUUGAAUAAUGUUGGAGUGGGAGAUAGAAAACUUUAUUGCUUAAACAAUCCAUAAUAAACCUUCCCAUCACCCUUCCCUUUUAUAAGUAACAAAAAUCAUAUAACUUUUACUUUGAUUCCGAUGUGGGUUAGACAUAGAUAAAUUUAUAAAUCAACUAAUUGGGUCGUUAACACUGAUCACCCAUUUUGAUCAAACAUUAUAAGAUAGGUCCUAAAAAAUUUCAAGGUCGUUCCUAAAUUUUUUCCUAUAUAACUUAUUAUAAGGUUUGAAAAUUAAGGUGGGUCAAGUGACUUACCAACCAUCUAUGUAAACUCGCUUAUGUCCAUUGAUUAAUAUAUUUGUCGUUUGUAAUCGUGAUCACUGAUCAUAGUGUGUAUGGUUGUUCUGUUUCUCACGAUAGCUACGAAAUGUAUUCCAUUAAUUAACUUCUCUGAUGAUGUUAGAACUUAGAAGUUUUUUUCUUUUUCUUUUUCGGCAAAACGAAGUGAUUGAUUAGUCGCAUGAUCAACAUCAACAUAAUUUGUAAGAGUGAAUGUUAAGGUUAUCACAUGUGAUUAAUGUCUUUGAGUUUUGACUUGUAGUAAUGUGUAAAAUUCAAAGUUGUAGUAAAUAGCAUGGAAAUGUUAGAAUUGAUUUGUAGGCAUUUGUAACAUCCCAAAAUUUAAGACCAAAAAUUUUACUUUUAAUUUAAUAAUUAUAAAACCAUUUGUCUGAAAACAUCCAUAGUAUCAACCCAUAUCAAACCAAUGUAUAAAUAGUCAAACAUGUCAUGAUAAAACAACAUCAGAGUAUAACUCCCAAAGAUCUCAUGUGUGGAAAUCAUGGUGUGAUGCGCUGAAAUCAAGUCGGCUCCUUUGUUUUCAAAGAAGAAGUAACUGAAACCAAAACUGAAAACCGUAAGCACAAAGUUUUGUGAGUUCCCCCAUCAUACCACAUAAUCACAUACUGCCAGGCAUAUCUGGGUGCCCGGUCUACCGUAUCAGGCAUAUUUGGGUGCCCGACCUACCCUGUCGAGCAUAUUUGGGUGCCCGACCUACCCUGUCGAGCAUAUUUGGGUGCUCGACCUACCCUGCCAGGCAUAUCUAGGUGCCCGACCUAUCAUGUCAAACAUAUCUGGAUGCCCGACCUACCCUCCGGUUUAUUUCAACCGGUUACGGGGACUAUUUCUCCCUACCACUACCACAUAAUAACAUAGCAUAAAUAUACUGUCAGACAUAUAUGUGUGCCUGACCUACCCUCCGGUUUAUUUCAACCGGUUCCGGGGACUAUUUCACCCCUACCCCUACCACAUAAUAACAUAGCAUAAACCUACUGUCAAACAUAUUUGGGUGCCCGACCUACCCUCCGGUUUAUUUCAACUGGUUCCGAUGACUAUUUUACCCCUCCGACCAGUAUCACAUAAUAUCAUAGCAUACUAGCCCAUAAAACAUAACAUAUAGUGGCAUACCAAACAAUUAUCACAAAGCACAAUCAUCUCUAUUGUAAUCAGCUACUAGUGGGCCAACAUUGGUGCCUUCGACUGUAACAACCCAAAAUUCAAGCCCAAAAAUUUCAUUUUAAUUAUUUAUUUCAUAAAAACAUUCUUUAGAAAAUACUGUGUCGACACGACAUUUCAUAAAACAAUGUAUCAUGUUCGAAACCCAUGUCAUAAACAAAUAUCAUAUCAGAGUACAAUCCCAGAAAACUUCGUGCGGAAAAUCAGAUGUGUGUGCGAUGUCAUGCUACGCCGCCGCCUCCUUCCCCUUAGACGAAGAGGUACCUGAAACCAAAAACUGAAACCGUAAGCACAAAGCUUAGUGAGUUCCCCCAUCAUACCACAUACCAUACAAAUCCAUCGGUAUCUUUCAACCGGUAAUCAUCAUCGGUAUCUUUCAACCGGUAGUCUUCAUCGGUAUCUUACAACCAGUAAUCAUCAUCAGUAGCUUUCAACCGGUAAUCAUCAUCGGUAUCUUUCAACCGGUAACUAGGGUCUAUUCCACCCCAUACUACUAGCAUACAACAACAAGGUAUAAGCAUACAAUUAGGCAUAUCCGAGUACUGACCUACCCUUCGGUCCUAAGCACCACUGUCAGGGAAAACUAUCCCUAUCAUGCACGUAACAUAUCAUACAGAUAUAUCUCAUAACCAAACACGUAUCCAUACCAAGAUAAUUAUCACAAAGACAAUCAUCUUCUAAAUUACUCCUACUUGGUGGGCCGGCAUUGUGGCCUUAGACCCACCCUUAUUGGAAGGUAACUCACCUCAAAAUGUUGGUUGCUGAAAAGCUAAUCUGCAGAUGUCUGAAAGCUGCUCCGGUGAUCCCCCGGCUAUAUUUCCAUAAAACACUUAAUCAGACAUUGAUACUAUUCCCAGGGUAAAAUGACUAUUUUACCCCUGACCGAUUCCAAACCAAAGUUAAAUCAAGGUCAGAGUCAACUUCCAGUUGACCCGACUCGCCGAGUUGGCUUGCUAACUCGUCGAGUCCAUAUCCAGUCGCUUGUCCUUACUCCCGUCUCUACUCGUUGAGUUAGGCAUUGACUCGACGAGUUCACUUCCUAAUUGAUACCCAAUGGUCCUUCAUCCGACUCGCCGAGUUGUUUGAACAACUCGUCGAGUUCUAUGAAGAUUGCCUUGGACUCGCCGAGCACCUUCAUGCACUCGCUGAGUCCCAUGAACUUCCAGAUCAAUGGCUUAGUCCAGAAUGUCGGGUCACUCCCCGGAGACCCCCUUCAAACUUUCCACACACAACUGGGUCCUUUCGACCCUCAACAGAAUGGGACAGAACCCCCUAGACUCGCCGAGUUGGUCACGUCCACUCCAUAAAUCUUUGCUCUCUGAUGAACAUCCUUUGAUCAAAAGCUAGAUCCAAGCUUCUACAAUUGAUCUAGCACGUAAAGUUACAAACUUUACGUGCUUGCAUGGGACUUUGAGCUCAAAAGGACAUAAAACAAUCUCAUAUGGCGCAUGAGGCCUUUCAUGGGUGCAAAAGCAACCCAAAUCUACCUAGUGAUGUAAUGCCCGUAGAUUAGGGCUAGUCAAUUUAGAGACGAUAGGCGUCAAAAAUGAAUUUUUGAUGGAAGAUUAUUUUGAAGGAAUAAUCUUAUCUAAGUUAUAGUAUAUGUUACAAGGAUUCCGUACAUAUAAAGAACGCCAAAAUCCGAGCUAUAACGAAGAAGUUAUGACCUGUCGAAGUUUCGCGACAGAACCGACACGACGUUGAAUGACGUAAAAAGUGAAUUUAUGUUAGAGUGAUAUUUAGCCUUAGCGAUCUAAAUGAAAGUCGUAGAGUUCGUUAAACCAUGAGCGUGCAUAAAAAGAACGCCCAAAUCUGACUUCGUAUGAGGAAGUUAUGAUUUUUCGAAGUUUCGACUUAGCGGUAUGCAGCCCGAAUACUCGAUUUGAGACCGAGCGGUUUUUAGCCGAAACAAUCUAAAUGAGAAUUGAAGAUCUCAUUAAUUGUAGUAAAACGAUAAAAAGAUAGGCGAAAACGGACGUCGGAUGAAGAAGUUAUGAUUUUAUAACGGAGUUUUCCUGUCCCGGCCUACUAAAAAUAAAUAAUAAAAAUAAAGUCAAAAUUAGCCGACGGAGUCUAAACGAAAGUUGUAGAUCGUAGUCUCACCUACGCGUGGAUAUAAAGAACGUCGAAAACGGAGUUCGUAUGAGGAAUAUAUGAAUUUUUGAAGUUUAUUAAAUAUUUUCGAUAUUUUAUUUAUAUAUAUAUUCCGAUAUUAUCCGAAGGGGGGGGGAGUCAGCGAUCUUAUCGUCGUUACGCCCAGCGUAAUCUCAAGUUACGCCCAGCAUAAUUCGACCUUCCAGCCCCUAUAAAAGGAGGUCGAGGGCAACCGAGUUAUUUGCUCAUUUCUUCCCUUUUUCUCGCGUUUUUGCAUCGUUUUUCGUGCAAGAAUUAUCCCGAAACCCCUGUAUCAUUCUCGAGCCCCGAAGCAAGUCCCGUGGCCCCGAAGAUCCCGAGAAGUGCGAUUCCCGAGCCGAAGCUCUGCCCGCGAGGAGUCCGGUUUUUGUGAAGAUCUUCCAGAUCUGCCGAAGAAUACUACUUCUACAAGCCGUAGUGCUGUCCGGUCAUCUUCUAAUCAAGUGAGUGUGUAGUUACUUUCUUCUAACGCAUAAAUAUUAAGUAUUUGCUAUGAAAUACGAGCUAUGUGUAUAAUAUAAAGUUGUUUAUAUGUGUGAGUGUAUAGUCCCUUUCAUAAACACGAGCAUAAUACAAGUAUUGUUUGAAUGUAUUAAGUAUAUGUUUGGGUGAGUGUAUAGUCACUUUCAUCUUACACAUAGAUAUGAAGUAUUUUAUAAAAUACGUGCUAUGUGUAUAUAUAUUGUUGUUUAUAUGUGUGAGUGUGUGGUUAUUUUCUUCUAACAUAAAGAUAUGAAGUAUUUGCUAUGAAAUACAUGUUAUGUGUUUAUAUAUUGUUGUUUAGUUGAGAUGAGUGUGGAAUGGAUCUUUUAUAUAGGUGUUAAAUGAGUUAAUCUGUAUAUGUAUUUUAUAUCUACAAAAUGUUGGGUAGAACAUGGGUAGAUGAAUUAGAUGAUGUUUGAUGAUAAUUAGGUGAUGAGAAAUAGGUGAUGAUAAUUAGGUGAUGAGAGAUAGGUGAUGAUAAUAAGGUGAUGAUAGAUAGGUGAUGAUAAAUAGGUGAUGUGAAAUGAGAGGAGAUACCAUAACCUUGACCGACGAUGUAGUCAUCUACCAGAGUAUAGAUGGCGACCAUGGACUAUUCUAGAUGACCCCGUGGAAACACCAGCAGGCUCAUAACCUAUAGGUGAUGAAUUACGAGCCCAUGCGAUGUUGUGGCUAUGUAUUCAUUCGAUGAUACUCUAACCCUUACUAUGAAUUACGAGUCCAGGCGAUGUUGUGGCUGCGUAUUCAUGCGAUGAUAGUCUAACCCUUAUUAUGAUUUACGAGUCCAGGCGAUGUUGUGGCUGUGUAAUCAUGCGAUGAUACCCUAACCCUUACUAGACAUAUAUUGAGGGAGUGAUCCCCGAAUUAGCAUUGUCUAUAUGAUACAGGCGAUGAUCCUUAGGAAAAGUUCUUAGGAACAAGCAUAUAAGGAUAUAAGAUGUAAGGAGAUGAGCGGUAAAUAUGAUAUAGGAGAUGACCCUUAGGAUAAUAUCUUUAGGGAAGAUUAAAAGAAGAUAAUGGGGAUGGGUAAUUGGGUUGAUUGUUUGAUGAUUGAAUAUAAUAAUUAUAUUAUUGUGGGUUGAAAACCCUAUAUGCUCACCAGGCUCCCAAGCCUGACCCACUCAGUUUAAUUGUAUCACAGGUAUCGAUACGAAGCUGCUUUGCACUGAGAGAUUAAAGGAGAUGUAAAUCAUUAGUGUAAUUGAAUGUAAGUUCUGUUUAUGCUUAUAUGUCUGUAUCGGAACAUGACAUCCCGAGGUUUUAUUAUUAAAUGAAAAUACAUUCUCUUUGAGAAAUGUUUUGAUAAGUUAUUAUCAUAUCUUGUUUUGGGAACAAAUUCCGUAACCGUUUUCUUUAAAAGAUUACUCUGAUUUUAUAUAACAAAGCAUAAAAAAAUCAGUCUUUUCUGGUCGUGAAAAUGGGGAUGUCACAAGUGACUCCUUUCAUGACGUGAUUCAGAAGCUUAAACCCCCAACCAUGUUUGCAAACAUGGUUGGCCACCAAAAAUGGCUCAUAAAAGCCCUAAACCUCCCCAAAGAGGGAUCUAACAAAUGAAUGAGCAAGAUCACAGCUUUUUACCUUAAAUGAGCUGAAGAAGGUGCACAAACUCAGGUUCCCAUGAUCUUUACUUGCUUCCUCAAGCUUCUCUCCUUCCUUCCUUAAGAUCACAACACCAAAAUCCACCGACAAGGCUUAGAUUGCUUCAAAAACGACUAGGGUUUCAGUGAGGGGUGUUUGGGAGCAUAAAGGCGUGAUGGAGGCUGCAUAAGGUCAUUUAAAUAGGGUGAAAACCCCUAGAUUAGGGUUUUUGUCCAGACAGCGGCUAAAAAACACANNNNNNNNNNNNNNNNNNNNNNNNNNNGAGUCCGGGACCCGACUCGCCGAGUCUGCAACUUAAACUCCACGUCUCAUCCCGCUUCUACUCGGCGAGUCAGUCCUUCGACUCGCCGAGUCCAAGGCCAAAAUUGUAAAUCAUUAACAGAAUUAAAUACAAGAAUACGUACCAAGAACCAGGUGCUACAUCGACCCACUUCUACUAGAAGGUAACUCACCUCAAAUGUUGUAAAGUUGCUGAAUGGUCCUCGACUCUGAAAUCAACCCCACUCAAACUCCUACACAUAAAAUAUUUCAUUUAAUUACCCUUUCAUACUCAUAACCCCUUAAGGGUCAGCUUUGGUCAAAGUCAAAGUCAAAGUCAACAUUUUGGUCAAAGUCAAUAUUCUGGUCAAAGUUAACAUUUCGAGUUGACUCAACUCGCCGAGUUGGCCCUGCAACCUGCCGAGUUCCAUAAAUCACAAAACCCUGGAAUCACGAUCCAACUCGUCGAGUUCCUCCUUAUCAACAGAAUAGGGAAUUCUCAAGAUCAACUCGUCGAAUCCGUCCUUAAACUCGUCAAGUUCUUCUUUUUAACAGAAUCGGGACACUACAACCCAACUCGUCGAGUUCCUUUAUGAACUCGUUGAGUCCUUCAGUUUUUAAGCCUUCUUAAUGUAUUAAGCCAUCAUUCUUCGAAUCUAAGUCCCAUAUUCCAGAUUUGGGCCGAAUACACAUCCAGGAGGGUAAAGUUUCCGACUUUACCCAUUAAGACCCAUCCAAGAAGAAAUGAGCCCUAACCCUAACUCAAAAUGUCUUAGAUCCAACUCCAAAAGCCAUCAAAACAUCAAGAUAAGCCACAUGUUCAUAGAUUUGGACUCUAGGGACAAUUUGGUCACGUAAAGUUCCUAUCAUUACUUACAUGCAUGGUCUACUUGUCUCAAAAGGCCAAAAAGAUGGUCUACAAGUUGCAUGGGACUUCCAUGGCCAUAAAGUUGGCACCUUUAUCCCAUAAAGACCCUAGAUCUGAAGGGUUUGCCCACAUGGGGUGUCCAAAACCCAAAACCCAACAAUCUUGGACCAAAACAUAGAGAAAACAUCCUAGAACUAGAUCUAAGCAUACUAUAGGCAAGGUAGGAGCUUUAUACCUCAUAUGAAUCAGAAAUGAAACCCAACUUCUGGAUCUACUCUCCUCUUACACGUCCUUGCUCCUUUUUCAAGUAUCUUCUUCUUCAAAAUCACAAAGAAUGCACAAAAUUGGCUCAAAACUCUCAAAAGUGAAUUAGGGUUUCGUGGCUAGGGUUUGGGACAUUGGAGGCUGUAAAUGAGGCCAGCUUAUGGAGUAUAUUUCAACCCGACAUACCAUAGUGUGCCCCACCCUGGGGUAUAUUUCAACCCAAUCAUACAAACAAGUACACAUCACAUAGCAACUAGCAUUCUAUAGAAUCAAAAUAAUGGACUGACAUUGGUGCCUUCGACCCAUGUAUACAGUGAUAAAACUCACCUCAUAGACAUACGAGAAAAUAGAAAUAGCACGCUGCUCUAAAAUCAACUCUACCAGUCACCUUUAAAAAAAGUGACCAAAACUCAAAAUAUAGGUCAAAAUACCUAAAAUACCCCUAGGUCAAAAUCCAAGUCAAAGUCAACUGAGUUAACUCGGUGAGUAUGCUGGGUGUUCCCAACUCGUACGUGGGGCGUACUGCUUUCUUGACCAAACGUCGAAGAGCUGACCUUGAACGCGCAACGUACACUUUGAUACAACCAGCGUUCGUGGCUGCCACUCACUCAAUCCAUUAAGUGUUUAAUCCUUAAGCACUUACGUCCAAAAUCCAGAUCUAGACCCUAAAAAGUGUUCUUACCCACAAAGUUUCCAACUUUAUGGUUUUGCAUGGAUAAUAAGACCUUGUCACCAAAAACCCUAACCUUUUGACCCAUUAAGACAACCUAAUCAUGGGAAGGAACUAAUGUCCAAGAUCAUAUUUUUAUGACUUAACAUACACUAUAACAUCUGAAAGAAAGGUUCGUUGUGAACCAUCAAUAGUGGUGCAUUUUGGUUUGUGGUUAGUCUCAUGUUGGGGGUUAUGUAGGACCUCUUUGCCUGUUCUCGUUUGAUUAAGGCCUUAAAGUUCGAAGCCGAACCGAAUGCAUGUUGAGGAUCAACAGAUUAGAGUUUUGACUUGUAUUGAUUCAUGGCGAAGUUUUCUUGUAGAUAGCUAGCAAUACCAUGUGAUGUAGCCAUGGCAUAAUGGGAAUGUUGUAAGACUGCGGGGUGACCCAUAGUAUUCACUGGAUUUAUAGGCAGUUAUGGAAGUGAUUGUAAGACCAAUGGGUAACUGUAGCAUACACAAGGAUGAUAUGAUGUUGGGGAAGUGUUGUGAGUAUGCGAUGUAGUUGUAGCAUUCAUCAGAAUGAUGUUGGCCACUGUACGAAUGGUCGUUGGGCUGAAGGAGGAUUAACACAUGCAUGGGUUAAGAUUGACAGUAUUGUCAGAGGAUUUCUAUUGUUUUGGUAUGAGGAUCGUUGGAUCCAAGGUAAUGUCAGGCCUGUGCAACACUCGUUUGGGUGAGACCCGUGGGCGAGGCCUGUUCGAUUGUGCAGGCUGGGUGAGGCUAGUGGGCGAGGCCCGUAGGGUUAUGAUAGUAUGGAUGAGACCCGGUAAAAAGAGACUUAAAUAAGGUAUUAGAUCAUGUUUAGAAUGGUAUGACUCGGUGAUCAAGGGAAGUCAUCUGUGUGGUGUUUAAGCUCAACUAGCCUGUACCAGUUAGACUCAAUGGUUGGGUCUAUUGUGUGACCGUGCGCAAGAUUGUUGGGCAAUUGGGGAAAUUAUAUAUUUUAGUUUAGUAAAAGGUCGCCAUGUAUUUUGAGUGUGAGAUAUGUUCCGGGUUGGCUAAAAGGGAUGAGACUUGCAUUGAGGGUCCCCAUUUCUGAUAUGAAUGGUCUUUUCGGCAACAAUGUACGGUCAAGAAUUCUAUCCGCCAAGGGUAUUAGUUAGAUAAUUUAGUAUCGGAAGAUGUUUUUCAGUUCAGAUUGCAGAGAAAGGUCUGAUUGAUUGUGUUUCAAAAUGAGUAUGCCUGUGAGGAGGCCAGGUAAAGUUUUAGGUUCCGGACUUAUAGCAGUUAAGUGCUAGUUUUUCCAUAUUGAAUAAGUUAGUGGAUCAAUAAUUCGAUCACUAUCAAGGCGUGUGGGUCAUGUUAUGUUUAAGUUUCGAUGGUAGCAUUGGAAGGUCGCCGUGAGUCUGAGUCAACCUUCUCGUCGAAGUGGGGUUCGAGAGGUUUUGGUCGGAUCAUAUAGUUUCCUGGAAGGUAAUAAGAAAUGAUUUCGAGGAUGAAAUCUAAUUUAAGUGGGGGAGAGUUGUAACACUCUGGUUCAAUUCGUUUCAUAAUUCGGGGUUGUGACCCGAAGAUCAAUUAUCAUAAGGUUUCGGGCAUUGAGGAAAAUAAUGUUAGACCCAUUUGGAUGUGGUUAAUGUAGAUUAUGUGAUCCAAGAUUUGGUUUGUGCUUUAGAUCCAAAGGGUAUAAUGGGAAAAAUGAUGUUUUGUACUUCUUUUAUGAGUUAAGAAUUUUAGUUUGAUGUGAUUUAAUUUAAAAGUAAUUAGAUAGGGUUGUAUAGCUCCUCACCUUUCCGUCGAUAUAAAGAUCGUCGAAAUCGGAAUUGAAAUGAAGAAGUUAUAACCGUUUGAAGUUAGGACAGUUUUGGGUUAAACCACAUACGUUGGGCGUAAUAGGAAGUACGUGUGGCGUACUAGGGUAUCCCUGAGUACAUUGGGCGUACCAAGAGUACGUUGGGCGUACGCAAUAAGUGCCCAAACCCUAUUUUCGUGGUUUGAGCCCUAUUUAAGCUCCUUAACUUCCCCAAACCGAUUCCAUUCUCAGCCUCCACCUCUCCAACACACUCCCUUGAAACCCUAACCAUAGUUUGAGCCUUGUGAACAAAAAUAAGGUGUUUUUAAGUGAUUUGGAGUGUUCUUGAUGCAUCUUGGAGAAGAAAGAGCUCAUUGGAGAAGUGUUGGUUGCAUUGGAGCUUGUAGAUCCAAACUUUGUUCACCUUGAUCUUUCUUAUAGAGGUAUAAAGCUUGAAUCUUGAUGAUGUAUUUGUUAGAUGUAGCUAGUUUUGGGUGUUAUGAGCUUUUGGUCACUUUAGUGCUUAAAGUUUAGAUCUUGAAAGUUUGUGACCUUGUUAUGGAUAAAGUUGGAAACGUUAUCCAUUUAAACAUCAUCUUGAUUCAGAUCUAAAGGUUGGAGACUUGGACUUAAUGAAUUAAGUUGAAAGAUAUGCACUUUUGGUCCCUUUGAAACUUAAAGACUAGCUCUUGGUUCUUUGGACCAUUCUAAUGGAUAAAGUUGGCAACUUUAUCCAUUAUGGAGUCAUUAGGAACCAUAAAAAUGUGACCUUGGUCCCUAGUUUUCCUCCAUGCAUGGUCUUGGAUGUCUUAAUGGGUUAAGAAGUUAGGGUUUUUGGAUGUUGAAGACUUAAUAUCCAUGCAAGACCAUAAAGUUGGAAACUUUAUGGUUAAGGAUAUCAUUUGAGGGUUAGAUCUGGAUUUUGGAAGAAAGAGCUUAAAGGAUUAAGCUCUUAAUGGAUUGGAAGGAUGGCAGCCAUGUACGCUGGGCGUACCAAAGGGUAUGUUGCACGUACGUGGUCAGUCCCUCGAGUUCUGGUCAAGGCGUAGUAUGCCCCGAGUACGUGUUGAGUACGCCUAACGUACUCAAUUGAGUUGACCUGGUCAAAUCGGUUGAUUUUUGACUUUAACCAGGAUUUUGACCAAGUUUGACCUGAGAGCAUUUUGGGUAAUUUGAUUUAUAGUUUGAGAUUUGGGUUCCUGUUAACUGUAUAGGUGACUGGUAGAGAUAGCUUUUAGAGCAGUGAUCGGUGCAACUAUUCUUUCAGACUGUGAGGUGAGUUUUCUCACUGUAUCCGUGGGUUGAAGGCACAAAUGUCGGCCCAUUACUUUGUUGUGUAGAAUGCUACUUGUCUCUAUGAUACUUGCAUGAAAGACCAGCAUCUAGCCCCUGGUAAUUGUAUGAAAGACCAGGAUCUGGCCCCUGACACUUGUAUGUAAGACCGAGAUUUAGCCCUGGGCAUUGCAAAGAUAGACCAUGGGGGUAGCCCAUGACUUGUAUGUAAGACCGGGAUUUGACCCUCAACAUUGCAAGGAAAGACCGUGAGGGUAGCCCAUGACAGUUGUAUGUUAUGGUAUGUGAUACUUAGGGAACUCACUAAGCUUUGUCCUUACAGUUUAUGUUUAUGGUUUCAGGUAUUUUCGGUACGAAAGUGAAGGGCACGACAUGACUGCACCUUAUUCACCAGAGUUUUUCGCAUUGAAAAUUUUCAAUAUUUCUCUGAUGUUUAAAUAAAAUAUUCACCUUGAUCGGUUUUCGAACAACUCAUUUGCAUGGUUUAUUGUUUUAAAAACGAAAAUUUUACUAUGAACUUUUGGGACGUUACAUAAGUCCCAAAAGGCUUAAUAUUUCAAGAACCUAACCAACAAGUACUUACUCAUUAAGGUCCGAAAUCCAACCUUUCUAGAAGUGAUUCUAGCAUCGAAACUAACCUAAAUGUUGGUGCUUUACAGACAUGCAUGUCUAAUGCAUGUAUUGAACCCAUAUUUGGUCAAAAUGAGGGUUUAUGACCUAAAUCACAUGCAUGGAUUGAAAAUCCAACCAAACUACAGAUCCAUGGCACAAAUUACACCAAAUGUACCAGAGAUUCUAUAACAUCCCAAAAAUACAGGUCAAAAUUUUCAUUUUUAAAUAUGUCAUUAUAAAACCAACAGUGUAAUAAAACAUCCGUAAUAUCAUGUCAUGUCAAAACCAAAGUAGAAAUAAUCAAACGUGUUAUCAUAAAAUAAUAUCAGAGUGUAAUCCCAAAGAUCUCAUGUGCGGAAAACCAUAGUGUGAUGCGUUGCGAUCAAGCCGACUCCUUUCCUUUGAACACGAAGUACCUGAAACCAAAACUGUAAACCGUAAGCACGAAGCUUAGUGAGUUCCCCCAUCAUACCACAUACCACACAAUCAUAUAACAUACAUAUACUGUCAGGCAUAUCUGGGUGCCCGACCUACCCCUUCGGUCCUCUCGACCGGAUACUGCCUAGCAUAUCUGGGUGCUAGCCUCCCCUUCGAUCCUCUCGACCGGAUACUGUCUAGCAUAUCUGGGUGUUGGGCUCCCCUUCGGUCAUCUCGACCGGAUAUUGCCUAGCAUAUCUGGGUGCCGGGCUCCCCUUCGGUCCUCUCGACCGGAUACUGCCUAACAUAUCUGGGUGCUGGGCUCCCCUUCGGUCGUCUCGACCGGAUACUGCCUAGCAUAUCUGGGUGCUGGCCUCACCUUCGGUAUCUUUCAACUGGUAACCGGGGACUAUUUCACCCCCUAACACUACCACAUAAAAAGCAUAGCAUAAACACAUAAGACAUUACUGCCUAGCAUAUCUGGAUGCUGGCCUACCACUUCGGUCCUGUCGACCGGUAAUCCGGGGACUAUCUCCCCUAUUGUCACUAGCACAUAACAUCAUAUCAUACUAGCACAUAAACAUAACAGGUAGUAGCAAACAUAAACAAUUAUCAUAAAGACAAUCAUCUAACAACAACUCCUACUGGUGGGCCAUCAUUGUGGCCGUAGACCCACCGCUACUGGAAGGUAACUCACCUCACAUUGCUGAAGUCCCGUAGACACAAUCCCACACUACUGAAGUCCCGCAGGCUGAACCCCAUCUAUUAGUUGACAGAUUCCCAAACUGUCAACACCAAAAUAACGCCCAAUUAAUAAUUGGGUUCCAACACAUAACCAUAAUUCAUACUUGAAUAAUUACUACAUUACCCCAGGCUUGGCUUAUUUAAGCCCAAGGCCCAAUCUGUAGGCCCAAAGUCAAUUAGGAAUCAAAUCCCAACAUAUGGCCCAAUUUUCCAAAUUGGGCCUAGGCCUAUACAUGGUCUCAUUCUAAGGCCCAACAUCAUAUACUCAUUAAGGCCCAAAACUUUGCCCAUCUAUGGCCCAAUUUUCCAAAUUAGGCCCAAUCCCCUUACAUGGGCCUUACCCUAGGCCCAUUAAAUUACUCUAGACCAUUUGCUUGAUCUUGGAUAGUCCAUUUAAUAACCCAAAUCAUAAAGGACCAAUAGAAAGGCCCAAAAAUUAAACCCGAGUGAAAUUAGGGUUUCACAUAAAAUGAUGAUUAGGGUUAAGUUUCCUACUUAACCCAUUAAGUCCAUUAUCGCUUAGAUUAAUCUCUGCCAACGUUUAUUAUUUAAUAUCUCAAGUUAUUAAAUAAUUCUUGUGUGUGUGACCCGAUUAAUUCUUAAAGUUAGGGUUUCAUUGGCAUUAGGGCUUUCCAAACCCUAAUUAGGGUUUCCAACCCAUAUACUAGCCCAUUUAUUUAUUUGUUGGGUUUUUAGAUCAAUUAGCGCUUUAUGGGGCCUAUUAAGCCCACUGAAAUAUUAUUAAGCCCCUUUGGGUUUUAUUAGGUCCAUUAGAGUCCAUUAAACUUCAUUAGGCCCAUUAGAGCUCCUUUGAGCCCAUUAGGGUUUCUAGCACCCCGAAUGUAACAUCCCAAAAAUACAGGCCAAAAAUUUCAUUUUUAAAUACGCCAUUAUAAAACCAACAAUGUAAUAAAACAUUUGUAACAUAAUGUCAUGUCAAAACCAAAGUAGAAAUAAUCAAACGUGUUAUCAUUAAGCAAUAUCAGAGUGUAAUCCCAAAGAUCUCGUGUGCGGAAAACCGUAGUGUGAUGCGCUGCGAUCAAGCCGACUCCUUUCCUUUAACACGAAGUACCUGAAACCAAAACUGAAAACCGUAAGCACAAAGCUUAGUGAGUUCCCCCAUCAUACCAUAUACCAUACAAUCACAUAACAUACAUACUGCCAGACAAUUCUGGGGUGCCCGACCUACCCGUGUCAAGCCAUUAUGGGGUGCUGACCUACCCGUGUCAACCCAUUCUGGGGUGCUGACCUAUCCAUGUUAAGCCAUUCUGGGGUGCUGACCUACCCGUCGGUCCUAACAACCGACCCUCGGGGACUAUUCCACCCCCUACUGCUACUAUCACAUAUAUCGUAACAUAAACAUACUAUCAGACAUAUUUGGGGUGCCUGAAUUACCCUUCGGUUCUAACAACCGAACACGGGGACUGGUCCCCUCAUACUACCUCUAUCGCAUAAAACAUUACAAGCCAGCAUGCAAACAUAUCAUCACAUACUGUCAGACGUAUCUGGGGUGUCUGACUACCCUUCGGUCCUAACAACCGAACUCGACUACUAUCACACACAACAUAUCAUGCUAGCAUAUAACAUAUCAAGUAGUAGCAAGCUUAGAUGAUAUCACAAAGACAAUCAUCUAUCAUACGUCUCCUACUGGUGGGCCGACAUUGUGGCCUUAGACCCACCGCUACUGGAAGGUAACUCACCUCACACUGCUGAAGUCCCGUAGACACAAUCCCACACUGCUGAAGUCCCGCAAACUCAACCCCAGCUGCUGGAUGACAAAUUCCCGAUCUGUCAAUAUCAAAACAUCACCCAAUUAAUAAUUGGGUCCCACUACAUAACCAUAAACACUUACUUUGGAUAAUAACAUUACCCCAAGCUUGGCUUAUUCAAGCCCAAGGCCCAAUCCGUAGGCCCAAAGUCAACUAGGAAAUCAAAGCCCAACACAUGGCCCAAUUUUCCAAAUUAGGCCUAGGCCUAUACAUGGUCUCAUACUAAGGCCCAACAUCAUAUACUCAUUAAGGCCCAAACUGUGGCCCAUCUAUGGUCCAAUUUUCCAAAUUGGGCCCAAGAUCUUUACAUGGGCCUUAACCUAGGCCCAUUAAAUUACUCUAGACCAUUUGUUUGAUCUUGGAUAGUCCAUUUAAUAACUCAAAUCAUCAAGGCCCAACAGAAAGGCCCAACAAUAACCCUAAGUGAAAUUAGGGUUUCACAUAAAAUGAUGAUUAGGGUUAAGUUUCCUACUUAACCCAUUAAGGACUUCAUCCAUUAAGGACAUAAUCCAUUAAGUCCAAUAUUACUUAGAUUAAUUUCCGCCAAUGAUUAUUAAUUAAUAUUCCAAGUUAUUAAAUAAUUCUCGUGUGUCACGCUUAAAUCCCCAAUUUAAGAUUUAUUGGCAUUAGGGUUUUCCAAACCCUAAUUAGGGUCUCCAACCCAAUACUAGACCAUCAAUUAAUUUGUUGGGCUUUUAGAUCAAUUAGGGCUUUAUUGGGCCUAUUAAGCCCACUAAGGUUUCAUUAGGGUCCAUUAUUGUUUUAUUAAGCCCAUUAAGUCUUACGGGGUCAAUUAGGGCUUCCUUGGGCCCAUUAGGGUUUCAAACCCCCAAAAUCAACACANNNNNNNNNNNNNNNNNNNNNNNNNNNNNNNNNNNNNNNNNNNNNNNNNNNNNNNNNNNNNNNNNNNNNNNNNNNNNNNNNNNNNNNNNNNNNNNNNNNNNNNNNNNNNNNNNNNNNNNNNNNNNNNNNNNNNNNNNNNNNNNNNNNNNNNNNNNNNNNNNNNNNNNNNNUGGUGGCAGCCACCACCUCAUGGUGGUGGUGGUGGCGGUUCUUAGAUUUUCCAGCCAAGCAACUACACACACAACACACCACAACAAAACUAAACACCCAGAAUUUCUUGAAAACUGAUCCUUCCAUCGAUCUAGCGGCGUACGACGGCGUAUUGAAAUGACAGCCACCAUGGCCGGCUGCCAUGGUGGUUUUCCAUGACCCAACUCGACAGGUGAUGAACCACACGAACUCGACAACCCUUUAGGGUUGUGACCAUGACCGGAGCAACAGAAGUGAGCCCUUGGCGGCGGAUGGAGCAAAAGAAAAAGAAGAGAACGACGGCAUCGUGAUGAGUUCGAAACAGGCAGCGGUCACAGGCCAUCUCCGGCCAUACACGACCUAACCGACGACAACAGGUGGUGGAAUGGAGACCUUCGUCGACGAAGCAGUAGGCGGACACGAGAGCUAUCGAACUCGGUGAUGCCAUCGGCGGUUGAGGGGCUUCUAUGGUGAUGGCGGCGAUCGAAAAUGAAGGAGGAGGAUAGCGGCCUUGCUGAUCGGGAAAACGAGAAGUGAAGAGGGAUGGUGGCGGCCACAUUUUCUUCUAGGUUUAGGGUUCUCUUAUGGGUUAUAUACCCGACACCAUAACAUAUUGCCAUAAUGGCAAAAUUGGUCCCUCCCCAUAAAUUCUCUUUAAAUUAAAUCCCAUAUUUUCCCUUUCAACCCCUGCCAACUAAAUUCUUUACAAACCAGAUCCGAGAUUUACAAUACAACCCCUAUCUUCUAAAAUCUUUACAAAGCUAAUCCAGAAUUUACAAAACCUCCCCUUGCUUGACAAAUUCUUUCCAAUUAAGGUCCAGAAUUUACCCUUCAGCCCUCCACUUCUAAAUUUAUGACAAUUAGCCCCUCGAGACCAUCCAUUGAUAUAUAAUUAUUUAUUUUAGGGCUACUAUUCGCUCAUUAUUUUAUUUAUUGACUUAAUAAAUAAACGGGGCUUUACAACUCUCCCCCACUUAAAUUAGAUUUCGUCCUCGANCCACCCGACACGGCGGCCGGUGGCGGCAACCACCACCCUAACGUGGUGGUUUUCAAGUUCUUUUAUUAUUCCAAGCUGUGAUUUACAUUUUACAAUGCUAAAUAUCAAAAUAAACACACACUAAAAAUUAAACACACACACACAGCCACCUUGUGGUGGUCGGCGGCGGCAGAUGGUGGCGGCCACCACCCUAUGGUGGUGGUGAUGCCUUUUCCGAGGACUCUGGCCAAACACCCACGCACACAUCGACUGAAUCAUGCACCUCUUCAUUCCUUUACUCGGAGAGGGAAGCCAACCACUCACUUUGUGGCAUAAGCCGACGGCAACAAGGUAAUGGCCACCAUGGCGGCUGCCAUGGUGGUUUUCACGCUUUUCUGGCCAACAGUAAGCAGGCAUACACGCACGGAGACGAGCUGAGCAAGGAAGCGCACCCCAACUCGAUAGGUGAUAAACCACACGAACUCGACAGCCCUUUGGGGUUGUGACCAUGACCGGAGCAAUAGAAGUGAGCCCUUGGCGACGGAUGGAGCAAAAGAAAAAGAAGAGAACAGCGGCAACGUGACGAGUUUGAAACGGGCAGCGGCCACAGGCCAUCUCCGACCAUACACGACCUAACCGACGGCAACAGGUGGUGGAAUGGCGGCCUUCGUCGACGAAGCAGUAGGCGGAGACGAGAGUUAUCGAACUCGGUGAUGCCAUCAGCGGUUGAGGGGGCUUCUAUGGUGAUGGUGGCGAUCGGAAAUGAAGGAGGAGGGUAGCGGCCUUGCUGAUCGAGAAAACGGGGAAGUGAAAAGGGAUGGUGGCGGCCGCAUUUGAUUCUAGGUUUAGGGUUCUCUUAUGGGUUAUAUACCCGACACCAUAACAUAUUGCCAUAAGGGCAAAAUUGGUCCCUCCCCAUAAGUUCUCUUUAAAUUAAAUCCCAUAUUUUCCCUUUCAACCCCUGCCACCUAAAUACUUUACAAACCAGAUCCGAGAUUUACAAUACAACCCCUAUCUUCUAAAAUCUUUACAAAGCUAAUCCAGAAUUUACAAAACCUCCCCUUGCUUGACAAAUUCUUUCCAAUUAAGGUCCAGAAUUUACCCUUCAGCCCUCCACUUCUAAAUUUAUGACAAUUAGCCCCUCGAGACCAUCCAUUGAUAUAUAAUUAUUUAUUUUAGGGCUACUAUUCGCUCAUUAUUUUAUUUAUUGACUUAAUAAAUAAACUGGGCUUUAUAGAUUCAUAAAGUUGCAAACUUUAUGAGAUCUCGUGUAAUGCCCUAUUCCGAAUCGCUUUCCUAAUUCAAGACUGUGGCCUGCAGAUGGGUUAUCAUAAGGCUGAGGGCCUUUGGAAAAGAGGGAUCUAGACCCAUUUAGGUGCAGAUAAUGUAAUUGAGGUGAUCCGGGAGUUUGGGUUGUGUCUUGGAGCCAAGGGGUAAAUCAGUAAAGUGGUUGUUCGAGCUCUUUAUGAAUUUUGGAUUUUCGUUCGGAAGGUUUUGAGGUAAGGAUAAGUUGAUAGAUGUGUAGAGCUUCUCGCCACCUUUAUGUGGAUAUAAAGAACGUCGAAAACGGAGUUGAAACGAAUAAGUUAUGGCCGUUCGAAGUUGGAGUGGUUCGGGUGAGUGAUCGUUGACUUGUUGACCAAGUUUAUUUAAUGCUCACGACGUGAGAAUUAAGUGCUCACGAUGUGAGACACACCUGAUGCACCAAAACCCUAAUUUUUGGGUAUUUAAAGGUAUGAGAUGAUUAGGGUUGCUUCUCCUCAGCCUCUUUCACUCCCAAGUCAUUGAAAAACCCUAGAUUCGGCCCUCUUGAGCUCUUGAGAUAUUGUUAGUGGUUUUGGUUUGCUAAUGGUGCUUUGAGUCCCUUGAAGAAGAAGAAGGAGCUAUUGUGGUGACUCAUUUUGUCAAGAUAAGCUCAUCUUUGUGGACCAGCUGAACUUGUGAACUCUAGUAAGGUAUAAAGAUCCUACCCUUUUCACUUGAGGUUGCUAGAUCUAGGUUUUGGCUACCUUCUUUGCAUGAGAUCUUGGCUUACCAAGCAUGAGAUUCAUAAAGUUAGCAACUUUAUGAACCAUUGAGUCAUUUGCUUUAUUAGAACCCUUGGAUCUGGACUUUGGUGCAAGUUAUGGACUCCAAGUUUGAAUCUUGAUGUUUAUACCCAUUUUUUGACCUAACUAGUGUUUAAGUCAUGUAUUGGACAUAUAUGACUAAAAAGAUUCGAUUUUUAUGGUCCUUGGGGUCAAGUAAGACCCUCUAGACUGCCCCCAUGUUAAGGCUUAAUGGAUUAGGAACUUAAUGCUCAUUUUUUUGGUCUGAUCUGAACUCACGAUGUGAGGAAUGAAGCCUCACGACGUGAGAGCGUAUUCGAGGAAGUUUCUGGGCCAAAAUCAUGACCUCAUGAAGUGAGCAUAAGGUGCUCAUGGCGUGAGCAUCACCUGAGCAAGUUUUGGGAUCUUUGAUUGUGAGCUAGCUUGGUAUUGGACUUAUCCUUUGGUUUGGGCUCAUAAUGGGCUAAGGAUUUUAGAGUAAUGGACUUCUGGUUGGGCUUGUCCUAAUGGGCUUUGGAUGAUGAAUUGGGCCUUAGUGGACCCAAUGUAGUUAGACCUUGAUUGGGCCCAAUGGGCUUUAGGAAAAGGCCCAUGAAAGGGUUUGGGCCUAGUUUGGAAAAUUGGGCCAUUGAUGGACUUUAUUGGAUUUUAUAGUUUUGGGCCUCGAUUGUGAGUAUUGAAUGGACCAGGGGUGAAACGGUCAUUUCACCCCAAGUAAGAAUUAAGGAUCAUGGUUUGAGACUCAACUGCUAAUUGGGUGAUAUUUUGGUAUUGAUAGUUCGAGGAGUUGGUAGGACAACAACUAAGGACUUCUUGUAAUGGAUUUCAGUAGUCCGAAGUGAGUUACCUUACAAUAGAAGUGGGUCUAAGGCCAUAAUGCCGGUCCACUAGUAGGAGUUGUUUGUUAGAUGAUUGUAUUUGUGAUAAUUGUCUGGUAUGCCACUAUCUGUUAUGUUUUAUGUGCUAGUAUGGUAUGAUGUUAUGUGAUAGUGGUAGUAGGGGAAUAGUCCCUAUAUCCGGUCAAAAGGACCAAAAGGGUAGGUCGGGCACCCCGAUAUGUCUGUCGGUAGGUCUAUGUUAUGUUAUGUUAUUAUGUGGUAGUGGUAGGGGUGAAAUAGUCCCCAUAACCGGUUGAGAUACACAAGAGGGUAGGUCGGACACCUAAAUAUGCCUGGCAUGAGGUAGGUCGGGCACCCCGACAUGCCUGACAGUGGGGUAGGUUGAGCACCCCGGUAUGCUCAGCAGGGUAGGUCGAGCCCCCAGAUAUGCUUGACAGGGUAGGUCGGACACCCAGAUAUGUCUGACAGGGUAGGCUGGACACCUAGAUAUGCCUGACAUUAUGUGAUUUGUAUGGUAUGUGGUAUGAUGAGGGAACUCACUAAGCUUUGUGAUUACGGUUUACAAUUUUGGUUUCAGGUACUUCGUUUUCAAAAGAAAGGAGCUGCCUCGAUUGCAACGCAUCACACUAUUUUUCCGCACAUGAGAUCUUUAGGAUUAUACUCUGAUAUUGUUUUAUGAUGACAUGCUUAGAUUAUUGACAUACUGGUUUGCCAUCAUAUGUUAUUAUGAAUGUUUUCUUAUACUGUUGGUUUUAUAAUAACUUAAUUAAAACGAAAUUUUUGAUCUUAAAUUUUGGGAUGUUACAUCUCGCCAUUCCAACAAAUAAGAACAAGAAGUUUAUGGGACAAAACUCAAGAUCUAGCAACCUAACAUGAUAAAAAUCAAGUCUUGGACACUUACAAAGGUCCAGAAGUGUGCCAAGGUAAAGAAUGGAGACUUGCUUGCUUGAUCUUUGCUUCCUUCUUCCCCCUUCUUCCUUCUUUAGCUUCAAGGAACACCAAAACUAGCUCAAUAGUGGAGGAAAGUGAUUAGGGAUUUCUUUAGGGCUUGAAGGGGCUGAUGGAGGCUGAGGAUGAGCAAACCCUAGCCUCAUCAUUCCUUUAAAUAGGGAGCAAAACCGGAAAAAUAUGGUUUUCAUAUCAGCCAUUCACCACGUCGUGGCUAAUACUGCCACGCCGUGGUGGCUUAAAUGAAACACAUGAAUCCUUAGCGCCUCGCCACGCCGUGGUGGUGCCUCCACCACGUCGUGUCAACCUUCAAAAUGAUAAUUUCAAUUACAGAUAAAGUACCUUAAGAUCCGGAUGUUACAGUUACACUAAUUACACACACACACACACAAAGAGAGAUGUCAAACUCAAUAAAAAAUCUUAAAAGGUUAAAAAAUGGUAUUUAGUUUAUUAAGUUAAAUGAUAGUUUCUAUACAAAGGAAAAAAAAAAUUAUUACUCUUUCAAACACAUUCUUUCUAGUCACAUAAUAUUCAAGUCACAUAAUAUUCAUGUAACCAAAAAAUGUCAAAUCAACAUUAAACAUAGGAGAGUUGAGGGAGUCCACCCCCACUGCUUUGAACCUACUUGACACCUCACUACCAUAUCACAUUUUUCUCUUCUUUCAUUUUCAUCUUCCCAACCAACGACACAUAAAGAUCUAUUCUUCCUAAUUCAAAUUCAAACACAUUUUGGUUCAAGUUUCGAUGCAUAAAGUGCAAUUAACUAAAAGUUAAGCUAAGAAGUAGUGGAACGAGUUAGUUUUCCCACGAGGGAUGAAUUUAUGCGGCAUCGCAAAAAAGGAAAUGAUUUUCCUUGCAGUACCGUCCAUACUCUCAAAAAGUCAUCCAACUCGUUGUUUACUCCGUCCAUCCUUAUUACUGGUAAUAAUGAUGUUUUAUGAAUAGUUUAAUAAAUUUAAUAGAAUAAUAUGUCCUAGUAAAAUAUAAUUUAUUUAAUAAAUAAAACAAAAAUUAUUACGUUCCUAAUUAAUUUUCUCCUAUGUAAAUUUCAUCUUUACAUAUGAAUAUCCGUAUGUUGCAUUAAGUUAAAUAAAAUAAUAAAAUUAUUUAUUUAUAUUAUAUAAUAAAAUCCUGACGUAUAUAUUAUAUUGAAAUUUUUUAUUUAUUAUAACAAUGAAUCAAUAUGAUGAAAUUUUAUUUAUUUAUUUUAUAUGAAUAGUUUAUAUAUGAUUUUUUAAAUAAGACCAUAUUUUUCUAUCGUCAAUGUUUUUAUAGAAAACUGAAAACUCCAUAAUGUUAUUGUAAUUAUUAAAGUACGUUCACGGUUACGGUGGUUAAUUAUCAUCCCGCCAUCCAUCUUAUCAUCUCUUCUAGCUUUGCACAAUUUCUUCUUGAUUCUCUCUUUGUCUCUCAUGGAGUCUCUCUCCAUAGGUCUCCCAGCUUCCCGACCAUCUCCAAAGAACCCUAAAUUCCACAAAAUCAAAACACCCAAUCCCAUUUUCCUUUUCACUAGUUGCCAUUUAACCCCAAAUUCCAUCCGAUUCCUUUCUCAUUUCACCAAGAAAAAACCCAAAUCAACCAACACUACCCUCAAAUCCCAAGCUCUGGCUUUCCUUUUUGUGGGAUUUCCAUUUCCACUUUCUUCAUUUGCCUCUGAAGAAAUACCCAUUGACCAAUCGUCUAGCAAAAUCAACCUAGAGUCGAUUUUGGUUUCAAUUGAUGAUUUUUUCAACAGAUAUCCGUUUUUUGUUGCUGGGGUUGUUUUCAUUUGGCUGUUUGUCAUCCCUGCGACUCAAGAAUACUUGCGAAAGUACAAGGACAUAUCUGCUCUUGAUGCUUUCAAAAAGCUUAAGGAUGACCCAAAUGCCCAGCUAUUAGAUAUCAGAGAUAACAAGACUCUGAGGGUUCUGGGCUCGCCCAAUUUGAAGAUUUUUAGUAAGAAUGCUGUUCAGGUCGAAUUUCGUGAUGGGGAUGACGACGGUUUUGCAAAGAAAGUGAAAGAGAAUUUCGGGGAUCCUGCAAAUACCACCAUUUGCAUUCUUGACAAGUGAGUUUUUGCAUACAAACAGACAUUUAAAAUCAUAGAGUUAUUUGGAUUGUAGACUAUAGCACCACCACUUUACCUUUCUUCACAAACUGCUUGGCACCUACUAAUCCCAAUCUUUGUGUUUGUAUGUUAAAAUUAAUAAACAAAUGGCCAAGUUAAAUCCUUUGUUAUUUGGUCUAAAUGUGCAAUUCAAUUGGAAGGACACUCAUUGGAACCUAAUCUAAAAAUGCAUAAGUAGCACUAAAUAUUAUCUAAUGAUUAGGGUCUUGGCAAAUAUACUUAUGUUGUAUAUGAAUCCUAAUUCAAAUUGAAAUUGGUCUUCCUACAUGGAUAGAGAAUAAGAAGUUUGAUCCCCUCCUUAUUAAGUGUUUGUAUAUAUUGUUUCAUUUCACUUGAAAAUGACUGUGUUGCCCAUGUGUCUUUUAUCUUUCCUUUAGCUGAGAAGUUUGAUCUGUAUAUGAUUCCUUUGUUUUGUUUGUAAGGUAGUUUUGAUGGUAACUCCAUGAAGGUAGCCGAGUUAUUGUUCAACAACGGGUUCAAAGAGGCUUAUGCUAUCCGAGGUGGAGUUAGAGGCAACAGCGGGUGGCUGGUAUCAUUCACUUUUUCCUUGAUAAUUCAUAUUUCAGUGAUCAGUUUUUUAGAGCAACCUGUUGUUUAUUUCUCCAUACUUUUAAGUACUACUACUAAUUGUAACACGCUAAUGUUCCAAGCAACCCAUUAUAAUUUGUUAUGCACUUUCUUUGGUUAACAGGAAAUACAAGAAACAUUUCUCCCACCCUCCGUACACAUCAACCUCAAAACAAAAGUCAAUAAGUCAAAACAAGUAAAUAACAAUGGAGCAAUCAACGAACAAAGUGAAGUCAAGAGCCAAAUAGAUUCUGUAGCUGAAAGCAAACAAACCAACAAUGGUUCUGUCAAACAUAAUACAUCAUCUAUGGGACCCGUGUCCAGAUCAUUGUCUCCAUACUCAAUGGUAAAAAGAUCAUACAUUUUUCAUCAGCAAAAUGAUUGAAAGUCAACCAAACUAAUUAUUUUGCUACAUUUUGAAUGCAGUAUCCUGAUAUGAAGCCGCCUUCCUCUCCAACUCCAUCCAAGCCUCAAUAAGGAUGCGACUCAUUUUGUACUCACUGAGUCAACUCGAUAUGUUUAUUUUUUUUAAUAGACCAUGUUAUUCAACACUUUUGCGUAUUCCUAGUCUCAUUAUGUUUAUUUGAUCCGAUUAGGAGUGUAAAAUCUUUGGCUCUGGAAUGAAAGGAAAUGAGAGUUGUAAUUGUUUCCACAAAUUUUACAACGUGAUAUUGUUUGUUCCAUUUACUAGAAAUGUUAAAAUAGGUCAAUAAGUGGGGCUUGGCGUGUUUCCAUGAGAUGCAGAAACAUACCUUUCUCACUGUCUUCCUCCAGGAACCUUCAACAUCCACUUUAAUGGUGAAGUUCUGCAAUAAUAUGAACAAAACAGAUUAGAAGAUAUGCCUAGCUCUAUAGAGCACAUAAACAGAUUCGAUGUAUUCUAAUUACAACUUUGAAUGGCAUGGACGAUAUGACCAUAUCUUUUUGAAACCAUGAAUGCAAAAAUGGGGAAGACGAUAUAUUUUGUAUUUAUAGAUUUUGGACGAUAUCUUUUUUUACAAUUCUUUGAUUUAGUUUCUAUUCUGGAAGCUGAUAGAGCUUCUUUUUCUGCGAUAGAUUUAAGAUCUUGUGUGAUUGUAACCACGAUUUACUUAGAUUCUUUCCUUAAAACAAAAAUGGAAAUGAUCUUGGAGAAACAAUUAUUCCAAAUACGUAUAAAAAGAUAGCUAGCUACCUAGGAUUGUUAUCGUUAUAAUAAUAACUAGUUAAGAAAUAUAACUUGUUUCUUUGAUCUCCUCACCCACCGCUCUGUUCUGUUUCGUGUUGUUUGAUUUGAUGUCCAUGGAGCCAUGCGCAGACAUGGUAAUUAAACCCAUCCCAUCUGGUUAAUUAAUUACUGUAUGUAGUUUAGCAAUCACCAUAGGAAUUAAAUUAGACGAACGAUGGUUUUUGAUGAAUUUGGUUUUUUUGUUUUGAAGGAGUGUUGCCUGAAAGUCCACUCCAAGUGUGAGUCGUGUAUGAUGAAGACGAUUGAGGUGUUACGUUCUAUCAGUGGUAAGGUUUUUAUGUUAGCAGCCAAAAAAUAGUAAUAGUAGGAGUCUAUUUAUUAUAUCAAAUUAAUUAGGUUUUGACUUUUGAUUAUGAUUUAACAACGGAGAUGGUAAUGGUAGGAGUCUAUUCGGUGACCUGGGAUGCUGAAAAAAAUAUUUUCAAAAUAUCUGGAGAGGUUGAUCCAAACAUACUUCUCAAGGCAGUGAUGCGGACAGGUGAACAUGCGGAGCUCGUCAAUGUAAAACUCAAUCACCCACAGCUAAGACACACAAACUAUAACUAUAAUUAUAAUAAUCAUAAUUUUGGUUAUGGUUAUCAUAUUCCUUCAUCCUCCUCCUACAGGAGGAGGGAUAUAAGGCCACUGCCUGAGCAUGAAUUCUACCCAGUUACUAGUAGUGCUUACAGGAGGCCACCUGGGAUUCAGUAUCUGCCUUCUAAUUACGACACCACCAGCUAUGGCUAUGGCUAUGAAAACCCCCUGCCACCGGCAACCUAUGUGCCAUCAUAUCCAUAUCAAGAGCAUGAUCCAUAUGCUAAUUAUGAGGGGGUCAGCUUUUGCACCAUCAUGUGACCCUGCCAUUGGAGAUUUGGACUCAACUUUUCAACAUCAAUGUAUCUCUUGUUUCUUUAAUAUUUGUUUUUAGGUUUCUCAGAAACGUUUGAUGAUAUUUUAGCCUAAGUACGUAAAAUAUUUAGGUCAUGUGAGUAUGUGACGUCCUUUGCAGUUUGCAUCCACCGUGAUUUGUUUUUUUUUUUUUCUCUAAAUGGGGAAGACAUAGUAUUUGCGAAAUUUCUUGCGGAAGGCUAGCUAAUUUACAAUGUGUAAGUAAAACAAGGAAUCUAGAAACACAACCAACCAAACUAGUAACAUACCAAACAAUUUGAUUUCACUCUAUUCCAUUUGUCACUGAUAUAAGUUUGACACUACAUCUUGCCCGUGUAGUGUCUCGAGGUCCCUCUUUAAACCAUGAUACCAGCCCUCCUAGAUAUGUAACUUGUUUCGCCCAACAAUCAGCUAAUCAAGAAGGUGAUCCUAACCCCCGACCAGCUGUGUCUAACCCGCUACAGUCCCUUCAUAGUCAAGCUCUUUCAACAACUCGAUCAGACGACAAUGACUAGAUUAACAACACCCUUGGUCCAUGUAGCCCCUUUUAAACCAGAUGAGCAUGAUUUUCAUCUUCUUAGUCGACAUGGUCACGACAUAAUGACAGGUUGCCUUCACACCGCCAUUUUAAGGAAAGUCGGUGAAUGUGAACAAUUUUUGGAUAAUGGUUGCGAAAGAUUUUUUUAGAGAGGAAUGUGCAAAUAGAAAGGAAACCAACUUGAUAUAGUGUCCGAAAACCGCAAUGCCUUUAUUUCGAUUUCAACGGUCAUUUCAAAAAAUGGCAAAAACAAAUCCAAAUCUAACUUUUUUUUUUUUUUUUUUUUUUUUUUUUUUUUUUUUUUAAUAUGAUAUGGUCAUUUUUAUGAUUACCCUGAAUUUUAAUGAAUGACAUGAAAUAUUUAAUAAAAGAACUAGGAGUUUGCUUUUUGCAGCAGAAACCCUUGGUUAACGAUGAAACAUAUUUUUUAGGUCUUUUAUAUUUAUAUAUGACGUUCAUUUUAAAUUUUAAUAUAUUUCUUUACACACACAAAAGCUUUUUUACGAUUUAUUAAAUAUGGCAAUACACGUUAUAUCUACAAAUCAUUAGGGGUAAAAUGGUCUUUCCAUCUUGCUAUGAUAGGGGCAAUUUGGUAUUUUUAUAUCAUGCGAUGUCGGGGGCAAUUUCCUUACAUUGUUUGUGGUUAUGAACUUAAAUUAAUCGUUUUUAUGUUUUUGUUUAAAUUUUGGUUUUUGUCGCACAUUGUUUCACAAAUUUUGAGCUUAAUUUUCAAGGGAAAAAAAGUUGUAAAAAGUAGACAUUUUUUUAAUCAAUCAAAUAUGAUUUUUUUAGUUUAAAAGUUAAUAUAUCUUAGCUAUCGUCGUACAACGAAUGAGAAGACAAACAGACAAUAAGUUGUGUCGUUAAGCCUUUUUGUAUGGUAAAGUCAAUUUUUUUGAAGACUACAUCCAUAGAUCUAGGAAAUAUAACAUUGUUAUGCAUAAUCUGUUGUACUCUACUAAGGAACUCCACCACAUCAGACGUAAGGAAACCAAACGUAUCAAAUGCAAAUGGUAUGAACACGUAUUGAUUUUCUAUGCACGAUUUCUCAUGUUUGGUGACCUUGCAUAUGACAGCUUUUAAUGCAGCAUGUCCCGCCGUGAAACCCCCGACCCUCAAACCUAUGAGAGGGGAUACCCCUAUAAGGUCCACACAUGUUUUCCUCCAACCCAUCCAAAAAUCAAAACGUCAGCCGGUCUAAGAGCUGACCUUCCUUUUGUCGAGUCAGUCAGGAAAUUCAUAAGAGUCUCUUUCUUGGUAGAAACCCCGACACGCUUACAUAUGUCGACCAAAACAUCCCUAACCAUAUCGUACCUGUAUUUGAACCCCAUGGGUUCUUUGCAAUAAACUGCAUGCUCUCCAAAAUAGUCCAAACAUACCUUGCGGCACACCAGAUAUAUCUCGUUGGUUGAGAAUAUUGGAAUCAUGGGUCGAUAUUUGAAGAUGGUAGGAUACUCCAUAUGAGACAUAUGUUGGCCAAAUCCAUCUAUAGGCAUAACUAGAAAUCUUGAGCAUGCAGUGCACAUAAAAUUGAAAAGUUAUUUUCUGCUGAGUCGUUAUGUUGUAAUGCACUUUCAUAUCUUGGAUAAUUUUACUAAAAUGUUGAAAUGCACUUUCAUAUAUUGGACAACUUUCUUUGAUCCAUUUGCUACUAACAAGUCGGGACCCCUUAGUUGGUUAAUAAGAAGAUUUAUAAUCUAACAACUAACAUGGAGGUCAUGAGUUCAAUCCUAGAAAAAAUAUUUAAAUUAUUUGCAGUUAAAAAAAAAAAAAAAACUAUUGUUUUCGAUGGUACAAUUUUACUAGGUAUUUCUUGCAUUCAAAAAUGAUUCGGGUCAAAAAAUUCCGCCCAAAUUCACGUUCAUCUUCUUCGCCCGGUUCAUCACUCCUGUUGUUGAGUGUUUUUUAGAAGGAAAGCCGGGUUCUGCGUCUCCUUCUUCUGCCUACGAUUUCUCCUUCAUAUUCAUUGAUCAAUCAUCCUCCUCGUCCUGGCAGACAUGAAAUGGUCUAGCUGACUAUAUUUGGAGCUUCAAAAUCGGUAAUUAACUUUUCAUUCUGAUUUAGGUUUUCGGAGUUUGAAUUUCCUAUGCGUAGCUUUGCUUCUGCAAACUAGUUACAAUACCGCCUCUUGAAUUCUGUGCUUUGGCGAAUUGAAUCUCAAUUACAGUUCAGUUUUUUUAUUUUUUUAUUUUUAUUUAUUUAUUUAUUUUUUUUUGCUGUAAUUCGUUACAGGUUUGGCGAAUUGAAUCUCAAUAUGUAGUCUGGUUUAAUUUUUGAUCUUUUAGUUCCAUCUCUGUUUUGACUAUAUAUCUUCACUACUGUACUGCCAUGUACUUGGUGAGCAUUUUGAAAAUUUAAGAUGAAGAAACGUUAUUUAGUAUCAAAAUUUAUAACCUGAUGUGAAAUUUAUCUUUGUAUAGAAGUUUUAUUAGUGUAUCUGUUGGAUAAUAUUGUAAUUUCCCGUUAAUUUUUUUUGGUAAAUAGGCGUUUAUGAAGAACUUAAACUUAUAUUUAUGAAAACUUCAUAUACUGGUAUCAGUGACUAUUUCCUCAGGCUGCAAUGGCUUCAGACCAGGCAACUUUGGAUGGAAGCCUCUCGUCAACUGAUUUCCAAAAUUCUGCUAAUGCUUUUGCUCAAAAGUGGAACGAGUUCAAUUCUGGCUUUCCUGAGUGGUCAUGGAUUGAUUGCUCAAGCAGAUUAGGGUUUCACAGAGUUACUGAAGGAUAUUUGUCUUUACAGCACGUGUUCUUUCCGAGAUCAAUUGAGGUCUAGCUUUGAAUUCAUACUGCAACACAAAAUUGGCAUACAAAGACAUGAAAAAUGUUAUCUGAUGUCUCAUAUUUUAUGCAGGAAGAGCAUGAUGAAGGCAAUUCUAAUGAUCACCAAGAACCUUUUGAUACUGCCACUUUGGUAUGUUUAUGUUUAUGUUUGUGACAUUCCCAUUCUGACUUGAUUUCAGCUUAAUCGAACCAUUCCAUGAAAAGUGUAACAUUGCAUAGAGUUUUAGGAACAUUAUUGGUUAUCUGUUAGGCCUUGAGAUUGCAUCAGAAAUCAAUUUCCAUGAGAUUAAGAGGAUAAUACUAAUGAUGAGUGAUGAAAUUGUAUGAAUUUGCAAGGUACAGAGCAACAAUGAUAGUAAUGAUGGAGAUUGGUAUGAUUUCCAUGUGGUUUACAGUUCUUCCUAUAGGGUUCCGGUGCUAUACUUCCAUGCACAAACUAGUGGUAAGCUGAUCACUGCCUUAAUGCAUGGAACUUAGAUAUGAUGUCUCAUUACAUGCAUUGAUAAGUGAUAACUGAUGCUUAUGGAGUAUGUAGAUGGACAACCUCUGAACGUUGGUGAAAUUGAAAAGAACCUACCAACCAAAUCGAGCGAUGUGCUGAUGGAUUCAAAAUGGACUUUCAUAACUCAACAAGUAAGUUAUUGUUUUCAUCAAGUCUUUUAAAUAAAUAAUCAACAUAGAGAUAAGUUGAUUUAUUGAUCUGAUGUUCAUUUUCUUAAAUAUAGGAGCACCCAUACUUGAAUAGACCAUGGUACAUGUUACAUCCAUGUGGGACAAGCGAGUGGAUGAAGCUACUUCUUGCUGAUCAUAAUUCAACAGACAGAUACUUGGUAUCAUGGUUUACAGUGGUAGGCCAAGUGUUUGGUCUAAAAUUACCACUUGAAAUGCUAAAAAGCUAAAUUAGUUAAAACAUUUCAUUUCAUGCUGUCAUCAACAUUGGAUACUUUUAUAACAUCUGUUCCCAAAACUUUAGUUGUUCUAAUAAUCUACUCUACUUUAACUGGUGAGUCAACGGUUGUUCUGCUAAAACAAGCUAGGAAUUCUAUGUUUCCUUCAGCACCCUUUAAUGGAGACUCUAUCCAGCCAUUGCAUUGGAAUCCUAGAUCUUCCACACCCUUCACUAUCUUUUCACGCACCUAUAAUUAUCCAUCAAUUAUGAAGAUUGAUUUGUCUUUUAACAAUUAUGAAAAGUAAUUUGAUAUGAAGAGAAACUAUAUACCUCUUGAUGAACCAAGGGAUCUCUCACAAUUCCACCUCCUCCCACCUGUCCGGAUAAUUGAAAUGUGAGGAUUUUCUUAUAUUUAACCCACAAAAAGGAGAUGAAAACAUGAAAGGAAAAAGAAUUUGGCUUUUUCAUACUUGUGAUCUACGAGCCUCAAAUUGAGGUUUGAUUAGUGUAACUAAAGUAGCUUCUUCUUUCAUCAGGCUAAUAACAGCAGGCAUGACCUACAAAAGAGAUGAAACACAAAUCAUUGAAAUGAAUAAACUUUAUGUCUAUGAUGGGUCUGUUUUGUUGGAUGGAAUGAAAUACCAAACACACUACACAAGGGAAGGGCUUUUAAGUUAAUGCUCUCACCACAAGUAUAGAAAUGAAUGAAAGAUCCAAAGUCACCAAGUCAACUUUCUGAGGAAGUUCAGUAAGAUAUCUUAAGUUUGUCCUUUCAAUAACAGAAACACGUUCAUCUCGACGAAUUUUAUCCGCCACCUAUACAAAAAAUUAGUAUGAAUUUAAACCAUAAAUCGAUCAUUUUGUGUUUUCUGAUUAUAUAUAUAUAUAUAUAUAUAACAUUUACCUGUCCAUAUCCUACAUCAACACCAUAAACAAAAGAAGCACCAUACUGAAGCAAGCAAUCAGUAAACCCUCCAGUUGAUAGCCCUGAGUCAAGAGCCACUUUACCAGUAACAUCGAUUCCUAGCUGUUCAAUGGCAGCUUCUAAUUUAUGUCCUGCUCUAAAGUAAACAUCAAGUUAACAAACUGAACAACGAACAUGAAACCAAAUUUUAUAUACAAAGAAAGCUAUUUAGGAGAAUAAUCACCUACAUACAUAUUUCGGGAUUUCAGCCUUGAUUUCCACAACGGAUUUAUCAGAAACAGGGUGUCCAGAUUUAGUUACAACUCUCCCAUCAACAAUUACCUUGCCUAAAGUAAAAAAAAAUAAAAAUAAAUUAAAAUAAAUGCAAACACUUGGGAACAAAGAGUCAGCUUUGAGGAACUAGGGCAUAAAAAACACAGAAUUAUCAAUUAUGAGAUGAGCAACCUUGUAAGAUCCAUGAUUGAAUGUAGUUUCGACUGUACUGCUGAAACCUUUCAAGACAUACUUCAUCCAAUCUCUUCUUCCUAUAAACAUAAAUUGAGAAUAAUAGAUCAAAUUCAAGGUUGAUCUUAAAUUGGUGAGAGAGAUUGAAUUGCUCACUUCUUUGGCGGUAUAACUUUUCCUGACUUUAGAGUGGCGAAGCUUCUGACUGGACAAUUUUUGUGGGUGUUGGGCCAUCUCACUGGAUUGCAAUGUACAAGUAGUCAGAAUACAUCUGGUAGAAGAUAAAUCAUAACUACCUCAUCACUCUCAUCAUUAGAGCAUAAUCCUUUUCUCUUGAUAUCAUUUGAAACUUGAAAGCAUAAUUGCAUAGCCAGGAAUCAAAAUUCAAGCGUAACCAGUUCAAAAUAUGAGCUAAAGGAGCUGGAUUCCAAUUCCACGACCUAAAUAAUAAUUCUUUCCUUAAAAGAAAUAUUCAAAUUUCCUUAUUGGCAGAAAAAAAAAAAUAGUACCCAAAUGUGUUUGAUCGUUAUAGUUUUGUGGAGCAUUAAGUAACUAGGUCAUAAACUACUAUGAACACUUAACAAAACAACAGGUAAAUACUGGACAUCAGAAAUUAUAAUUAAUAGUUGAAUACUUCCUUUUCUACAUAAAAGGGCGUUAGAAUACCUCAAAAUCAUUGAACUCCACGAGAAAUUCUACAAUCACUAAUAAGCUGAUGAUAUCCAAAUUUUUUUAAAAGAAUUUAACUCAAUUUUUAUCAGAUUUAUACAUGAAAUACUGGAUACAGAUGAACGCGAGGAACCGAAUGAUAAGAAACGAAGAAAUGGAAAUUACGCAGAAGUACCUUGAAGCUGAGAGAAGUUUUGAUGUUCGGAUGUGAAGAAGACUCCAUUGCUGGAGCUAAGCCACCCGCAACGGCGAAAUAAUGGGAGCUUCGACAAUUGCAACACCAUUGAUGUGUCGGAGUCGGAGCGUUUGUGUCAUUGACUCAUUGUGUUAUCGGACUUAACCACAAAACUGGUAACGGGCUAUAAUUAGACCCAAUUAUAUGAUGGAAUGGGAUUUUAGGUAGCCCAAAUAGAUUAACAUUGCCACUAAAAGCAGCUAAACCGUUGCUUUUGAUUUUAAAUGGUCCUAAAUUAAAUUUUGGUGUUUUAUAAGGAAAUACACAAUGAAAUGACAUCUUAGGGUUGUUUAGCUAAACUUUUUAAAACAACUUAUUAGGUUACACAUCAUUAUGGGCGUGUUUGACAUCGAGCUUUUGGAAGCAUUUGAGAGCUUUUAGCUUUUAACAAAACACUCUAGUUUAAACAAAAAGUUCUGUUUGAUAAUACGAGUGUUUAACUUUUAGUUUAAACAAAACGCUCCAAAUCUAAAAGUUAUUUCAUGUAGCGUUUAACAAAACGCUACCAAGCUUUUGAAAUCAAUUUCCAUAAUUAUCCUUAAAAAUAUAUUUAUAUAUUUAUUUAUUUUUAAUCAGUUGUCUUUUAUGUAGCUUUAUAUAUUUCAAAAGCUUCCAGCUACUUUUGCCAAAUACCUAUAUACUCUCUCCGUCCCAAAAUUAUUGUCCACAGACAAAAAACACACAGAUUAAAGAAACAUUAACUACCACUAACUUUAUACAAUAUAAUGACAGUUUUAUCCUUACUUUGCAUUUAAUGUUCUAUUAAAUGCUUAGUUGGUUAAGUAAUAAUGAAGAAAUAUUUUGGUAAAAAUGUUAUUUAUUUUUAGAAUUGGACUAUUAUUUUGGGACAUACAAAAAAGGAAAGAUGUACUAUAAUUUGGGGACGGAGGGAGUAACAAAUAAAAGCUACAGCUUCCUACUAUCAGCUACCCGCUACCAGCUACCCGUUAACCGCUUCCAGCUAACAGCUACUUUUGUCAAACACGCUCUAUAAGUAAAAAAAAAGUUUUUGGAUGAAAAUAACUUAUUCCAGUGGGGAACCUCUAAUAAGUCAUUUUUUUCAUAAGUUACCCUACACUUACUUAUUAGCUUAUAAGCUAAUAAGCUAAUAAGUUAUAAACUAAUGAGCAAUAAUUUUUUUUUGCCAAACAUCCCUUUAAUAAAAGNUUUUUUUUUUUUUUUUUUUUUUUUUUUUUUUUUUUUUUUUCCAGUUAGCAGGUUACUCCACGUUUUAUGUCAGUGUCACAUAUAAUUUGAUGUAGCAUUAGAUGUUCACAUAAGCCACUCACUGCAACCUCCCUAGUAUCCUCCCUACAACCUUCAUUCUUCUUUAGACGUCUCCUUUAUGGUGGUGACUGGUAUACAUAAAAUUGUCGAAAGACUUUUUAAAACUAUUUAUUAAGUUUUAAUGAUAUUAACCUUAUGAUUUAUUUUAUAUUUUAUAUGAUUCUGAUUUAUUAAUUAUCUUUAUGAAAUUUAUAUAAUUUGAAAUAUCAAUUAUAGAUUAUAAAUAUAUACAUAAAAUUAAAUUUUAUCCCUAAUUUUGAUCAACUAAUUAUGUUGAAUUUAUUUCAUUAGGUUAUCAUAUCACUUUGAAAACACAUAUUUAUGUGGUUUUAUGAUUCUAUCAUUCUCAUAUUUUAUGCUCUUAAACGAUACGCUUUAUAUUGCUUUCAUUUAAUUUUAGUUAGGAUUUAACUAGUAUAACUAGUCUGAUAGACACAAAAAAAGAAAUGGACACAAAUGUUAUUAUGAUCCGAACUACUACUAAAAAAUCAGAUUGUUAUAAGUUUGCAACUUAUAAAUCUUUUACAGGGGAAAGACAUUAUUCUUUGUUCUAAUUUUCAGAACAUGUGAGAAAUUGUGAAAAUACGAGAUUCUAACGUGAAGUUUGGAUUGGAAGUGCCCCGCUUAAGGUCAGAUUCCAAAGAUUUUAUACUUGGAAACAUAUAAAGACUGGUCGAGUAAAGAUAUGCAGGAGAAUAAUUCUUAGGAAUUAUAAAAAUUAGAACACCUCUGAUCACAUGUUCAAAUUGGGACUUGUAAAGCUCAAGGGUGUUUACUGUGAAGGAUCCUUGUGAGUUUAUUGAUGAUUACCUAUUAGAGAUAGGGAAUGGCGCCAUUAGAUGAGGUCGGUUUGUCCCAAUGAAGGUGAAUAUCCUUGGGUGAAGGGUUAUGCUUGAUCGGUUGCCUACUAGAGUCAAUCUGGUUAACCGGGGUGGGGACAUCUCUUCUAUUAUGUGCAUCUGGUGAGGUAAUCAUGAGGAGUAUUUUAGAUCAUUUGUUGUUAAAUGUGAGACUAUAGCGAGAACAUGAAAUGCAAUUUUCAAGUGGGUGAAUGUAAUAUAACCGAAUUGGAAUUAUGUUACUCACGUCUUUCAACGGAUAGAUGAUUUGCAUUUGUCUAUGCAAAAGAAAUCGACUUUGGAAGCAAUUAUGUUAACUACUUGGUGGGUGCUAUGACAAUUCCAAAACUCUUCGAUGUUUGAUAAUACCCAAAGAAAAUAUUUGAUUGUUGAUAGUGUAGUAGAUAAUUCUUUUAAUUGAUUUGUCAAUAGAAAUAGUAAAAUUGUCAUGAACUUGGUCAAUUAGAUUCAAAACCCGGCUAUGUUGCUUUCUUUGUAAAUUGUUUUCCCCUUUACCUUCUUACUAGUGUGAUAAUUAAAAUUAGUUGUUUAAAAAAACUAUUGAAAUAUGUCAAAAAAAAUAUUAACGGGUUUAUACACUGUGCCAAUGUUUUGACAUUGUCAAAAUCCUCCUUGAAGGUUUUUUUUGACACGUGUCAAUCUCUCAUGAUUUUUGACAUUUAUCAUUUUAUUAUAUUUUUAGAAUAAAUAAUAUCCACAUGUCAUUUGUAGGUUUUUUCAAAAUUUAAAUUAAAAAGCCACAUAAUACUUAUAUAUUUAUAUAUGUAAAGUAUUGAAUGUAAUUGAUAGUUUAUUCAUUUCUUAUUUUAAUUUUUAUUUAAAAAAAUACAUGUUUAUAUUUUAGCAUUUAAUCUUUUGUUUAAUCAACUCAUCUAAUACACACACGUUUACACCUAGUUUUAUAUGAUAAUUAAACCCGAAACAAUUUUGGUCAAUAAAUGCCCAAAAAAAAUUUGUAUUACUUUUACUUUUGAAAAUAUUUCAAGUUAUAUUUAUUUUUAUUAUAUUACAUGAAACAAAAAAAGGAACUUAUGUAAACAAAAUAACCACCAAAGUUUAUAAUUUAACACAAAGUAGGAAAUAUGGCAAACAAUUGUCCUCCAUAGACUACGCAAUCCAAGCAAAUGAUAUAGGAUAAGGGUGGCAAGCCAUCCAUAUAUUCAUCAUCCAAUAAGGACCAUCCAUGUGUCAUGAAUCAUCUUUGAAGGCAAACCCACAAAUUUGUGAAGUAAAUGGUCAUAAUAAGUUAUAUUCAAAACUGAAGAAAUUGGGGACAACAAGCAUCGACCAUGGCUAGCCUCCAGCUCAAGACUGGCUUGACUUCCUCAUUGACCACAACAAGGCCGGUUGCACCCAAAGGCCUUUCUGGUUCACCUCUUAGGCUCUUCCCUUCUUCCCAGAGGUCUUCCUCCACUAUCAAGGCAGUAAAAACCGACAAGGUCGUUUCUUCUUUUCAUUUUUCUGUGAUUUUUAAGAUUUUAUUUAAUAGGGCAAUUUACUGAAUGCCCAUGUUGGGGAUCCACGAUCUGCUCAGUGCUCAUCAAUCGAGCUAGAUUGAUUUCAAAUGCUUUAGUUGGUGGUAUUUGCCUUAUAUGAUGAUUUCCUGAAGGUUAUGCCUUUAAAUUUUACUUUUCAUGUUGUCGGUUUAUUGAGAAUUAGUAACUAAUUUCAAGAUUUAUCGUAGUAUUGUAAGGAAAAGCUGAUUUUAAUUUAUUCAAAUGCUUCAUACUUUUCCUUAAGAUAAUGCAUAUGUUCUAGUUGUUUUACUAGAAAUAUGAUGCUCACGAUUGAGCCAUUGCCCAUUGUUGAAGGUUAUAAUGGUCUUUUUUUUUUCUUUAUAGAUAUGAGAAAGUACCAUAGUAAAAACUUAGAACUAGUUAUGGUUUUCAUGUCAUAGAGGCUUGUGGAUCCUUUCGGUUACAUCACAUGUAUUAAUUAUGUCGGGCAUAACCACGUAUUUUUUCUAGUUCUAUUUGUAUUUUCUGUUUGCUAAUACGAUAAAACUAUGCAGCCUACAUUCCAAGUCGUCCAACCCAUCAAUGGUGACCCGUUCAUUGGAAGUCUCGAGACUCCAGUGACAUCGAGCCCACUAAUUGCAUGGUACCUUUCAAAUCUUCCAGGAUACCGGACCGCUGUGAACCCAUUGCUCCGAGGCAUUGAGGUCGGGCUAGCCCAUGGGUUCUUCCUAGUGGGCCCAUUUGUGAAAGCAGGCCCAUUAAGGAACACAGAGUAUGCAGGUGCAGCAGGAUCACUAGCCGCGGGUGGGCUUGUGGUGAUCCUUAGCAUUUGCUUGACUAUGUAUGGAAUCGCAUCAUUCAAAGAAGGUGAACCGUCGAUUGCACCAUCAUUGACUUUGACCGGGAGGAAGAAACAACCUGACCAACUUCAAACAGCCGAUGGUUGGGCUAAGUUCACUGGUGGAUUCUUUUUUGGUGGGAUCUCCGGUGUCACUUGGGCUUUUUUCCUUCUUUAUGUUCUUGACCUUCCUUACUAUGUUAAAUAGGUGAAAUCCUAUUUGGGCUUUUUCAAAUUCCUAUUGAUACAUGAUCGCUCAAAUUAUGAUACACUUUGCUUGUGCUUAUGGAAGAUUGUAAAAUACUUUAUGGUUUAAUUAUUAUAAAAACAAACAAACUGAUAAUCAAUUAUGUCUCAGUGAUAUGAUUUUAUUGACAAAUAUACCUUUCAAAAAGAAAUUCAAAAUCUAUUGAGCAGAUUGUUAUAUACUUGGAACAUGCUAAAAUGAACUACAAAUUAUUAUCAAACUCGUAAUGUUUUUGUUCAAAAUCGACCUUCAAGUAUUUAGUAUGACUUGUUCAAACUUGAAAUGAAAAAAAAAAUGUUUAUGGCUUUAUGUUGUCCUCUGUAGUACCUUGGUUUUGGUAUAUUGAAUGUCCAAAACGGUCAUCAUACAAAUGAUAAAUUAAUCACUAAAAUAUUGAAUGGUGGUUUAAAUGGUGAUGUGAACUCAACCCACAUAAGAAGAAGAAACAUGAAAAGAGAGUUGGUUUAUAUAUGGAGUCAAUCCAUGUAGUUGUAAUUAAGCUUGAUUAAAUGUAUAUGUAGUUGUAUCCAUAGAAGUUUAUAUCAUUUCAUCGAAAUAUUGUAUGCUUCGAUUUUUUACAUUUCAUAUGAUAUUAAACAUUUUUUUUUCUGAUAUAUAACCAAAAAAGUUUCAAAAAUAUGAUUAUUAGUCUUUGACAAGAAGAUUGAACUGUCAAAUUUUAUAUAAAAACAAACAAUAACAAAAGGCCGUGUCCUAUAAAAGAAUAGUUGAGCUUGGUAAAACGAUUUUCUAUAACUAAAAUCCAUCCAAACAAUAUAAAAAAAAUAAAAAACAGUAUUACUGAUCUUAAUUAGUGGCGGAGAACCUCAACCGUCAACAAAUGAGGCAAACCAGAACUGUCGUAUUAAGGCAAAACAGAACUGUCGUAUUUAGGUCAAAAGUCAAAACCAAGGUAAUUAUAAUUUCUUACUCAGUCACCGGGCGCAAAAAUGUAAAAGCUCCAUCCCACAUCGGCGCAAAGUACCAUUGUAAUUGACUAUAUAUUAGCUGCGGAGGGAUGAAAGAGCACGACCCUACUUGAACAGGAUCUGUUCUACAGGCUUGUACCUCUUUAUUUUUUAUUCCUAAAAAGACAAAAACACAUUUUGAGACGCAAAGCAACUGUUUGAUGAAAUGCCUAAAAGACGCUCCUACUAAUUAAUUAUUGCUAGACAACCAAAACUUUCUUUAAUUAGUUGCUCUAAAAUUAAAACCUCAAGUUUAUUUUCUUGUUUCAUUUGACAAUAUCUAAUUAAGAUCUAAUAUGUAAUGGUGGCCUUUAGCUUGUGACUCUCUUUUGGUCCUUUUGUUCCUGACAAAGUCUUCCAAAGGUCUUGUCCCACAUCGUAUUAGCAGAUGAAGGCAAAUUGGCUGAUGCAAAUCAAGUGCUCGAUGAAUUGCGUGAUGGAGAUUAUGUUUCGUCUUGGGUCAGGUAUAACUCAUCUUAAUUUGAUCUCCUACUACUUUUCACCCAGAUGAGUGGGUUCUUCUUCGGUUCAGUCAAAAGAUUGCUUCUCACAUUUCAGAAAGAAACUGAUAGAAAAUCUUGUUGAAGGAUGCAUGUCUAGUUGACAUUUUGAUUUAUUUAUAUAUUUGAUUACAUUCUUAAUGAUCUUUACGUUUUGAUCAUAUAUGAUCACCUUGACUGCUUAUACUUAAAUUCACCAAAGAAAUUUCCAGGUAGUUGUGAUAUUUGAAUUCUUCUUGAUAAGACUGAUUACCCUUCUUCUUCAUCCACUAGAAUAUUGCACACCUUUCCCUGUUGUAAUUAUUUAAAUUAAGGAGAUAUAAUAUUUAAACAGAGAAAUCUUUUGUUUAAACACUUGAAUGAUGUAUGCGUGGGGAAGUAUAUUGAGUCAACUGAUUGGCUGAAGCUCUUGUUAUGAUUUUAAUCAAUAAAAAGAGUGAAUAACAUACAAGAUGAAUAGAAUAUAGAGAAAAGAGCAAAGCUUAAUUUUCAUAUUUGCAGCAGCAACAUGAGCAUUUUUUACCAUUCAAUAAUGAAGAUAAGUAGCAGGGAGAGAACACACCUUUCAUCUUUAAUGUUGAUGUUGCUCUGCUUGCAGAUAUAUACAAAAGCUCAAGAAGAUUUAGCCUACAAGGAGAUCCCAGUGGGAGUGAUUCUAGAUAUGGGAUCAUCAUAUCCAUAUUCAUAUUCAUAUUCAUAUUCUGGGGUUGGAAAGGCUGUUCAUAGCUGCAUCACCAUGGCAGUGUCUGAGUUUUACAUGGUCAAUCCUCACUUCCAAACAAGGAUAAUUCUUCACCACAGGGAUACCCAUGGAGACCCACUGCAUGCUCUCUCUGCUGGUAAGUCUUACCAUUUAGAUAGCUAUUUCAGACUUCAUUUGGAAUGCAUCAUGUAACAAGAUAUAAAAAGUAAACACCAAAAAGCAUACAACACAUGAAAGGCGUGUACUUGUCAUACAAAUUUGUCAUUCGUGUCUUUCACAACAUGUUUAAUUUCAAUGAAGAUGUUUUCUUUGGAUAUUUUUUCAUUGUUUUAAUUCAUUUGUUUAUGAUUGUCUUUUUUGACCAUCAGCUCUUGAUCUUUUGGAGAAGCCGAAAGUGCAAGCAAUCAUAGGUUCAGAGUCAACAGCUGAAGCAAAGUUCCUGGCGGUUUUGGGAGACAAAGCUAGAGUGCCUAUUCUUUCACUUUCACCAUGUCUCUCUUGCAACAAGCAUCCUUAUUUCCUUCAAGUUACACAAGAUGAAAAUGAAACCACUCAAUUUAAAGGGAUUGCUGCAAUGGCUGAAUCCUUUAGAUGGAAGGAAGUUAUCCUUAUCUGUGAGGAUAGUGAUAGUGGAAGAGAUAUGACAAAUACUCUCCAAACAAAGAGCAUACUGGUAACACAUAGGAGCCUAAUUUCAACCUCUUGGAGCAAUGAACUACUCCAGGAAGAGCUUCACAGGCUUUCAACCGUGCAAACAAAAAUAUUUAUCAUGCAUGCUUCCCCUUCUGUUGCAUCCCACCUUUUGGUGAAUGCAAAGCAUCUAGGAAUGAUGGAUGAAGGAUACAAAUGGAUUAUCACCGGUAAGACUAUGAAGUUUCUGAAUUUGCUGGACGAUGAAGUUAUUGAGUCUAUGCAAGGGGCAGUGGGUUUUAAAUCAUAUGUUCCACGAUCAAGAGAUCUUCACAAUUUCACUUCCAGAUGGAGAAGGAAAUACCAUGUGAUGGUGAAGCUCCAGGAGAUAAACAGUUAUGCUCUUUGGGUGUACGAUGCAGUUUCAGCUCUAGCAAUGGCUGUAGAGCAAGUUGAACAACUGAAGAGAAAAGAUGUGGAUACAACUGCAAGUGAGUUGACUCAAAGCCAAAGGGGUACAACACUUCUGCUGAAUGAGAUGUUAAGCAUCUCAUUUCAUGGUUUAGGUGGUGCUUUCCAACUUAGGAAUGGGAAGAUUAAUGCUGCACAAGUCAUGGAAAUAGUAAAUGUGAUAGAUAAAGGUGAAAAGAGGGUUGGAUUUUGGACACUGGAUGCUGGUUUCACCAAAAAUAUUGGUAGUUUGAAUAAUUCAGUUUCUGAUGAGGGUCUGGAAGCCAUCAUCUGGCCUAAAGGUGGUAUCACAACUUAUCCAACACACAGGAUGCUACAAGUGAGUAGCAAAAUCCUCAGAAUUGCCAUUCCACCAAAAUUUGGAGUGGGGAGAGUUUUUCAAGUGAAAUACGAUGCUGAAACUAAUUCCACAGUCAUUUCAGGGUUUUGUGCAGACGUAUUCCGAGCUGCAUUCAAAGGAUUAGGUCGCGACAUAUCCUUUCAGUUCAUCCCAUUUACGGGAGAAGAUAGAAUAGUAAAUUACAACGAGCUUAUAUAUGGAGUCUAUACUGGGGUAUGCAUCUUUUUGAACCCAGUAUUCUUUGUUCGAUGCAUCGGAAAAAAAUAUUAUAAUCUGUUUUAUUUACACCAGGAAUUUGAUGCUGCAGUUGGAGAUAUAACAAUCACGGCUAACAGAACUCUAUAUGUUGACUUCACACUGCCAUAUACCGAUCUUGGUGUUGGAACCCUGUCUCGAAAUGCUCAUGCAGGCAUAUGGAUCUUUAUGGAACCACUGAGUUCAGAUCUGUGGCUUGUAUCUGCUUCUUUCUUUAUAUUACUCGGUUUUGUCAUUUGGAUUCUUGAACAUCAGACGAAUAAAGAGUUUCAAGGUUCAUCAUCACAACAGAUUGGAACAACAUUAUGGUUUGCCUUUUCGACCCUUGUUUUUGCCCAUAGUAAGCUCUCACUCACAUCCCGUUUUAGUUUUUUACACUGUUGUCUAAGAGACUUUUGUAUUUCAUAUAUACGGAGCAUGAGAUAAAAGACACAAUACAGCUGGGAGACUUUUGUUUUUUCGAAUCUUGGUAAACUAAACUUGAAUUGGACAAAAGAGUCAAAACUUAAGGUGGUGGUUCAAAAAUUGCAGGGCAGAAGCUGCAGAGUAAUUUGUCAAGAUUUGUAGUAAGUGUGUGGUUGUUUGUAGUGCUGGUACUUGCUUCAAGCUACACAGCAACCUUGAGUUCACUGUUCACCAUUGAACAAAUUCGGUUAGCCUCAAAGGGAGACUUAAUUGGAUACCGAGAUGGUUCCUUUGUGCAGGGAGAUAUUGUUAGGAACUUGAAUUUUAAAGACACCAGGUUGAAGCCAUAUUAUACAUCAGAGGAAUAUGCUGAUGCUUUAUCACGUGGAAGCAAGAAUGGUGGUGUUGAUGCAAUUAUUGAUGAAAUUCCAUACCUGAAGGGAUUCCUAGCUCAGUAUCCAUCUGGCUACUCCAUGGUUGUGUCUGAAGUCACCACUAGUGGUUUUGGCUUUGUGAGUGUCCUCUCCUCACUACACUUACUAGUUACUAGUUAUACCAUUUAUUGAAGUUUGUAGAUCAUGAACAACUCUAUAUGUAAUAAUUCAUCAUGUGCAGGCAUUCCCGUUAGGUUCACCCUUGGUCCCUGAGUUAUCAAGACAGAUUUCCAGACUACGAGAAAAUGGGAGCUUAGCAAAGUUGGAGAAGAAAUGGUUUAAAUCAGAUCCACACUCAAAGGACUCUGAGCCUGCUUUAAAGAUUCUAAACCUGAAAACGUGUCGUGGUCUAUUUCUUAUUAGUGGAGUCUCAAUGGCUGUGGCCCUUUCCAUAUUCUUGUUUUAUUUUAUUCAUGAGAAACUGCAUUUCACAUACACAAUGCUGGCUGGAGGAAAACUUGCAUUCAUAAUGAGGAUUCUCAACCCUAAACCGGUGGUUGAACUUGAAAGAAGAUGAUCCCAACCAAACAACAACUACAACUAUGCCAUUCAUCUUGUCUAUGUUUAUUCCUUUCUAGUUUCUAGGCUCAGGCAUAUGAAGAUUCAUUAGUAAAGUUGAUUAUCUCUCCAAUUUCUCCAUUUAGUCGUGUACUUUUUUUUAAUCAAUGGUAGCAAUGUGAGGUAUGACAAAACAAUGUUGAAUGUUAAGAUUCUGCUUCUUUAACGUCUUGUUGAUCAUGUUUCAAACAUUCCUUUCUAUACUUGUUUUUUUAGAUGUAGUCAAUUAUGAGGUUCAAAAACUGUCACUUCAUUUUUAGAUUUGCAAUUGUUUGUAUUCAACCUCCACCCUUUCUACAACUGGAUCACAACAGUUGGAAAAAUCCUUUAGUUACAAUAUCCGUUAUUGCAUUAUGAAAGCUGAUUUCACUUGCAUAAUCAGAUGCAGUGGAGUUGAAAGUAGAAGAUGCAUGGUAACUUUUACACAUAGUCUUUUUCCCUUGUGGCUUUACAAUCCUUUUUGAAUGUUUCUGCUGUGUAUUUGUUUUCAAUCACUUCAUUUCUGCCCUGCUCUGCUUAAGGCUGUAAAAACAAUGAAGAAAGGGGACAUGAACAUGGCUCAAGACUCAAGAGAAGAUCAACGCUGCUGGAAAAAAAAAAGAAGGAAGUGGGUAAUGUGUUCUUUAAAGCCGGUAAAUAAUAUGAGAAGGUAAUUAGACUCUGGUUGACUAGUCAUAAGUCAAGAACUAAUUAAGUUGUACUAAUGCAAAACUAGUGUAUGACUAAAUCUAGUUUCUAUUUUUGACCUUUCCAGGCUGCUAAUUAAGUUCAUUGAGUAUGUCACUAAUUUUGAAGAAGAAGAAAAGCAUUGAAGGUUACCUGUAACCUUCAUAAUGCAGCUUGCCGUUGACAGUUUGUUGUUUCUAAAUUUAUAUGCUGUUUAAAAGUUGUUAAUAAGUGGUGGGAAACCAUGAUUGAGACAGGUGUGGGAACUUGACACUAAGUAUUUAACUAAUGCUUUGAUUGGGUAGUGGCAGUAUGAUAUCCAUGAAUAUUGCUUUUGAUCAUGGACCCCACCUUCUCAAUUACAUCACAUUUACUAACUAGUUUGGGCUUGGGUCCCACACCCCGUUUGGGCGUUGACUUUGAUGGGGAGGAAGAAGCAACCUGACCAACUUCAAACAACCCAUGGUUGACUUGGGCCUAUUUCCUUCUUUAUGUUCUUGACCUUCCUUACUAUGGUAAGUAGGUGAAGUCAUUAUUUGGGCCUUUUUAAAUUCACCAUUCUAGUUAAUUAUGAUAUACUUUGUUCGUGCCAUGGAAAUUUGUAAUAAGUUUUAUUGUUUAAUUUCUGUAAAAACAAACAAAUUUAUAAUCACUUGUUUUGGUGUGACAUGCCAUAUAUAUUUUCGUUCAAAAUUGACAUUCAACUAUUAUAUCACAUAAUCAUCACAAGGUGAUACUUGGCGAAUUAGUUAUCCGGAUGUCUUAAUGUCAUGAAGGUCAACUGUGUAUAUCAAAACAAGCACUACCCUAUUUGUGGCCAACUUGUGUCCCUUAAUCCUUUUCAUCCAAUUAGAUCAUAUGCCCAACUUAACCUUAUUAUAUGGAUAUACUCUUUAUGCUUAGGACGCAAACAAUAUAAAAGCUACAUCCCAAGAAACUGUUUUAUGAAAUGCCUCAAGAAGAUUAUAACUCCUAAUGUUCUUGUUUUACUGGUGUUGAUCGAGGUUAGUGGCCAGUUUAGAGAUGCGAAGCAACUGUUCUAUGAAAUGCCUGGUAAAGAUUAUGACAAGAUAGAGAGUUUUUUUGGUUUGAUUUAGGUUUUAUCAAGUUUUAUUUGUUGUAACGAGCUAACAAAGACAAUAAUUCUACUAUGAUACUUGGAAUCGCAGUUUUUAUAACAAGCUAACAAAGACAAUGGUGCUGCUAUAUAUGAACUUGUACUCAUGCAUUAAGGAUUGUACAAAUAUUGCUCAUGAUUUGAGUAAGAUUUCUUCUUUGUGCCUAUGAAUUUGUUGGCUCAAGAGAAGAUUUCUCAUUUUGGCCAGGCCACUACAGUCCCC